RNAcentral lists this long non-coding RNA (78966 nucleotides) under Sorghum bicolor (sorghum). Its description in RNAcentral is "long non-coding RNA (SBIC_LNC001641)". The record is from RNAcentral. Lineage: Eukaryota; Viridiplantae; Streptophyta; Magnoliopsida; Poales; Poaceae.
UUUAGAGCAGCUUUAUUUAUUUUGUAUGAAAAAAAGGAACAUGAAAGAAAACCCAAUCUCGGUAUAUAUCAAAACAUGUAUAAGCCGCCCGUGAAGUGGAAUCGCAUCCCAAUCCACAUAGUAUUUAGUUGUAGGCGUCGGGGUUGGCGACGAGGUAGGCCUCGGCACCCUUGAAAAUGGCGGUGACUGCCUCCUUGGCCUUGACUUCCUCGCCCUUCACGUCCACACCCGGCAGCAGCUUGUAGGUCGACUCCACCUUCACCACGCUGCCGCCGCCGGCCGCGGGCUCCACCUUGAUGUGCGACGCCGCGGUCUCGACGGCCACGCCGAUGCCGCCACCCUCGACGAGCGUCGACUUGCACUCGCAUUUGUCCACGUCCAGGGACUCGAGCUUCUCCUUCAUGAAGCUGAACGGCAUGACUGCAAGAGCGAUCGAUCCCACAUCAGGCGCUUGCUGUUUGAUCAUCAUGUUGGUCUGGGCAACACUUACAUGAGGUGAAGUUGAACUGCCUGACGCUGCCAACACCGCCGUCGCCCUCCACGGGAUGGGCGCUUGUGACGACGUGAGAGGCGACCUUGGGCGCCAGGUUGUGCCAGUCCAUCACGGCGGCGCGGAACAGGCGCGGCGCGGCCACCGGCGACGGGAUCUCUAGGGUCCAGCUGUUGGAAGCCAUGCUGGUGGUGGUCUGGGAUGAGCUUUGGCUCGGUGCCUAGGCCUAGUUUGAUACUAGUAGCUGGAGCUGCUGCUUGUGUUGCUGGAACGAGCGGCAACAAGGUAUUUAAAUAGAGUGCGGUGAGCGCGGGGUUGGUGACGCUUUGCCCGGUUGGUGUCCGGUGGUGACUGGUGAGGGCCUCAAGUUGCUGGGCGAGUCGUCGGGCUUUUCCACAAUGGAUGGCUCUGUCGGUCGAGUGAGCUUUUAGUAAGGCGGGCGUCGAAACACACGUCUUGCACGGUCUUUGUCAAAACACGAGGAUAUAUUCGAGGAGUAUGUUGACGGAAUUGGCGCCACCUUCCGCUUGCACAAUUUGGUCUUUGGUAUAUAAAAGUAGUAUGUAAUGACUGUCAGAGUUCUAGAUAUUUGACUGCAUGUCUGCAUGCUAGGAUAACUUCCAUUCUAGAACGAUAUGAGGCCCUUGACUAACAUGAAUACAUCAUCUUUUGAAUUUAGACAUGAGAAGACUUAAAUUUUGUUUGACAUAACUCAACUUUAUUUUUGAAACUGCUUUUUUUAAAUAGCUCUACGUGCAACUUUCUCGGUAUUAAAAAGUUAUUUUAUAAAAUAGCUUCACUAACAACUUUAUGUAUGGUUGAGAGAGAGAAAUGAAAGAGCGCUUUGAAAAGUUAUUUUUAGCUCUAUUUUUCUGUGAGAGCAUAAAAAAGGUGUUUGACAAAAAACAACAACAACUCACAACAGCUCAUGAAGUUGUUGGUUAAACCGUGUCACAUAGAGCCUCACUUGCUGUCGACGAAAGCUGGUCGGCAGUCUACCUUGGGGUAUACCCACGGUAGUAGUUUAUUGGUAGACGGUGCGCAAACUACGAACUCGACGGUGACGCAAGACUCGGACAAGCUUUUUAUCCAGGUUCGGCCGCCGAGUUGGCGUAAUACCUACGUCCUGCGUCUGGUUGUAUUGAUUUGUGUUGAGAGAAUAUCCUGUCCUAGGGGGGUCCCUUGCCCCUCCUUAUAUAGUCUGGAGGGCAGGGUUACAGAUCUGGAAACUAAUCCUAGUCGGUUACAAUUGUCAUAGAUAGUUCGAUAUCAAUUCCUAUUCUAACCGACUAGAAUCCUGCUUGAUCUCCACAUCUUGCUUCCUUGCGCGAAACCCCAUGCUGUCGGAUCAAGCCUUGAACUCGUCUCGUAAUGGGCCAAGCCUCCUGGCCCAAGUCUAGCCAUAAGGGUAUAGGGGUCUAUCCCCCCACACUUGCUGACAGUGAUGCCACCUUUUUCUUCUUAUCUCAUCCCUUAUGGAUCUUUUAUGAGAAACAUCUUGUUUAAUUUAUAAAAAAACUACCCUUUUUUUAAGUGACUCCUUCUUGCUCUAGCGAGAUCUUUUACCGUUGUCGAAAUGGUAACAUGAUGUACCACUCAACAUGCAUGAGAGGUAAACCACGGUACCUUUAGGACUAAUAGUUUUGACACCUACAGUACCAAACUCAAGUUAUAUAGUUUUGAUAACUUACCAAGGAUAAUAAAAAAAAACUCCUUACAAAUGCCUUCUAUGGCUUCUUAUAGGCACUUGUUAUGAUAUAAGGACACAACUAUGACAAUUAAGGAAUGGUGGGCAUCCUUAUUGAAGGUCCAUUUGGACUUUGGAUGCAAGGGGUAAUUGGUAGUUAGCUAAGAAUUAGCUCCCGUGUAUCUAAAUAGGAAUAUAUGUGCUAAUUUUUUAAUUAGCCAAGUUUUCAGCUAGUCGUUAGGCAAAUAGCUAGCCAACUAUAAACUAAUUUAGACUAAUUUUUAGCCCCAACUAAUAACUAGUGUAUCCAAAUAGAGUAGAAUUGUAAAAGAGAACGAUGGUAGUUCUAGUGUACUAUUUUUAGGAUGUCUACAAAUAACAAAAUAGAAGGGCUUUGCACGGAAAGAUGAAUUGACUCUAAAAAAGAAGGCUUGUGGCAAACCUAGUUUAGGCUUUUCAUUUCGCUGAAAAUACACUGAAAAGUACUGUUCACUGAUUUGUUGUGAGAGAAAAAUCCUGUAUCAUGACUGAUAAAUCUAAUGUCAUUGUUGUAUUCUUUUGUAACUUAAAUUUGCAAAAAUCUACAUUUUCUUUCUUUUUUAAAAGAAAAUGGACAGACAAGAGAGCUACCUUUUAUAUAGUACAGUCAGGCUUCUCCUUACGUGACCUGUCAUUUCUUAAAAAGAAAUGCAAGCUCGGUUGAUAAGGGUUUAGCCGUUUGAGGCCGCCGUUGAGCAUCACUUUUGUCUAAACUCAGAAAAUGAACUAAAAGCUGCUGUGAAGAGAUUUCGUGGCUUAUGAUUUGUUCUGGAAGCUAAAAAAAUAUUACAAAAUUCAAUAAUGAAAAUACAACAGUCAGAAGCCACAAAAUCAGCUUUUAUGUCAAAAGUACAAAAGAUACCGCUCAAACAAACAAGCCCUUAAAUGUCUUCUUCUCCCAGCUCUCUAGUGAACGCUAUAGCUCUUGGAGCUUUCAUAUUUUCCAUAAUAAUUUUAAACACUCUACCAAUAUCUACUGAAAAUGUAUCGAAAAAAUCAAAAUAUCUAUUAGAAAUGAGCAAAAUUAUCGGUCAAACUUGCAUAGAAUUCGAAAACAAAAUGCCCCUAUUCUUCCCACACAUAAAACCAUUGUAUACCCAUUUUCUGUCCCUUCUUCUUUCAAGAAAGUCAUUGUAUACCCAAAUAGUUUUCCAUCCGCCCUAUUUAUAGUCCAGUUUAUCCAGUUUUUGGUAAAACCUAGCCUAGCCCGUAGGAUUUAUCUACAACAGUUUCUAACCCACAGGUACCAGCGGUUUCCCUCCUGAUCUUCCCCAAUCGCCCACUUGCAACACCACGUUGCUCAUUGUUAACUUACUCUCCACGGACCUGUCCGCUCGUCGCGCUCGCCUCGAGCCGUCCGUGCGCUCUGGAGAUCCUAACUUUAUAUAUGGCCAUGCAGCCCAUGGCCCGGUGGCCCGGCCCAUGGCCUGACGAUUUGGCACGGCCCGAGGGACCCUGCCUAGGCCACCACCUAUGCACGCGACAUGGCCCAAGCAUGGCUUUAUCCAACGGUUGGCCCGGUAGCGGCUCGGUGAAAAUAAACUGUUGUGUAGUUGUGACUUAUAUAUAUAUGUGCCGUUAAUUGUUAUAUUGGAGAAAAUGAUGAACAAUUGGUGAAAAUGAUAAAGUGUUUUAGCACUUAGUGAAAAUGUUAAUGAAAAUGAACUGUUUUCGGCUAAACGGGUCGUGGGCUGGCACAAUACGAGAAAAACGCCAUGCUUGACGGGCCGACACGACACGAAAACCGGCCCAUAGGCCGUGCCUUAGGCCGAAGGCUAUGCAUGAAGUCCAUGGAGGCACGACCCGCAGCACGACACUGCAUGACGUUGGACAUAUAUAAUCCUAAAGCAGGACGAUUAGAAGGAAGAAGAUGGGGGUCUCCACCUGUCGUGCAGUGGAAUUCUCGUGCCUCCCCGUGCAUGGCCACGGUGCCACCAUUGACCACACGAGCGCGGCGUGGUGUGCGUCCGAAGAUGUUGUGGCUGGCGUUGAAGACAACCUCGAAGUUGUGCCUCUGUCCUCCAUUGGUGCCCAUGGGUACGCUGUUGAGCGGCGCUGGUGCCCCCUUCGUCGGCACGGGAGGAAGAACACGACCAAGUUUAACGAGUUGAGUGGUGUGGAAACGUCGCAAACCAACACGCGUGGUUUCUCCUGACACGGUUUACCGUGGGCUGAUUCACGGGUACACGGUUAGUAUACAUAUAUAUAGGGGGUGUUUGGUUCAAAAAAUGCAAAUGUCAAUUACUUUGUAAUGAUGGAAUGUAAAAGGUCAAACUUUUCAUGGUUAUGUUUAGUAAUGCAGAAUUUAUUGUCUUUAUAAGGGCCUCUUGAGGUUCUUUUGGUGUGUUUUUUUGCCUCUUGAGGUCAAAAUCUAAAAUAAAGAAUAAUUAUUUUUUUGCUAAAAAUUUUGCAUGCUGUUUAGUUAUAUUAUACAGAACAAUGGACCAAAACCAAGAAUUUUUUAGAAUAGCAGGGGAAAACACCCAUAAUCGCACAACGACAGCAUGCUACAUACCACUCAUAACAUCUCAAGUCCACACACCGCACACUGCUUAGAGCAGCUUUAUUUAUUUUGUACGAAAAAAGGAACAUGAAAGAAAAAAAAUCCAGUCUCUGAAUAUAUCAAAACAUGUAUAAGACCACCCGUGAAGUGCAAUCGCAUCCCCAUCCACAGAUUUAGUUGUAGGCGUCGGGGUUGGCGACGAGGUAGGCCUCGGCACCCUUGAAGAUGGCGGUGACUGCCUCCUUGGCCUUGACUUCCUCGCCCUUCACGUCCACACCCGGCAGCAGCUUGUAGGUCGACUCCACCUUCACCACGCUGCCGCCGCCGGCCGCGGGCUCCACCUUGAUGUGCGACGCCGCGGUCUCGACGGCCACGCCGAUGCCGCCUCCCUCGACGAGCGUCGACUUGCACUCGCACUUGUCCAUGUCCAGGGACUCGAGCUUCUCCUUCAUGAAGCUGAAUGGCAUGACUGCAAGAGCGAUCGAUCCCACGUCAGGCGCUAGCUGUUUGAUCGAUGAUCAAGCGAGAGAACAUCAUGUUGGUCUGGGCAACACUUACAUGAGGUGAAGUUGAACUGCCUGACGCUGCCAACACCGCCGUCGCCCUCCACGGGAUGGGCGCUUGUGACGACGUGAGAGGCGACCUUGGGCGCCAGGUUGUGCCAGUCCAUCACGGCGGCGCGGAACAGGCGCGGCGCGGCCACCGGCGACGGGAUCUCGAGGGUCCAGCUGUUGGAAGCCAUGGCUGGUGGUCUGCGAUGAGCUUUGGCUCGGUGCCUAGCUAGGUCUAGUUUGAUUAGCUGAUGCAAGUAGGUGGAGCUGCUGCUUGUGUUGCUGGAACGAGCGGCAAAAAGGGAUUUAAAUAGAGUGCGAUGAGCGCGGGGUUGGUGACGCUUUGCCCCGUUGGUGUCCGGUGGUGACUGGUGAGGCCUGAAAGUUGCUGGGCGAGUCGUCGCGCUUUUCCACAAUGGAUGGCUCUCCGUCGGUCGAGUGAGCUUUAUUAAUAAGGCGGGCGUCCAAAACACACGUCGUUGUCGCACACUCUUUGUCAAAACACGAGGAUAUAUUCGAGGAAUAUGUUGACCGAAUUGGCGGCUUGCCGCCACCUUCCGCUUGCACAAAUUGGUCUAGGUCUUAAAAACAAGCCAUGUAUGUCACAUUUGGUUGGUAUAUACAAGUAGUAUGUAAUGACUGUCAGAGUUCUAGAUAUUUGACUGCAUGGAUGUCUGCAUGCUGGAUAACUUCCAUUCUAGAACGAUAUGCCUUGACUAACAUGAAUUCAUCAUCUUUUGAAUUUAGACAUGAGAGGACUUAAGUUCCGUUUGACACAACUCAGUUUUAUUAUCGAAGCUGUUUCUUUAGAUAGCUUUAUGAGUAACUUUCUUGGCUGAGCUAUUUUAGAAAAUCAUUUUGUAAAAUAGUUUCACUAACAACUUUAUGCAUGGUUGAGAGGGGAAAAUGAGAGAGCUUUUUGAAAAGUUGUUUUUUAGUUCUACUUUUCCGUGGGAGCAUAAAAAAGGUGUUUGACAAAAGAAAAGAGUAAAGUCCAUCACCAGUCUCUAAACUUGUUUAGGUAUAUCAUCCCGGUCUCUAACUCGCAAAACGAUCGUUUAGGUACCUAAACUUGUUCGGCUAUAUCACUCUGGUCCCUAAACUUGGAAAUCUCAUAUAUAGGCCUUCAAACUUGUUUAGUUGUGUCAUCCCAGUCCCUAAACUUGUUUUUAAGUCUCGUCUGGUUCAAAACGGAACGAAUCUAAAAACUCUAUAAAUAACUCAUAACUUUUUCAUAUAAACUCAAAUAAAGAUAAACUUUAUAUUAAAAUUAUAGCCAACAAUGUGAUCUACAACUUUGUAGUUAAAAAGUUUUUAAACUAAAAUAAUUUAGGGUCUCAUUUUUUUGUAAGUUUAUUAAAUUUUGUGACACUAAAUGACUUCAAAUAAAAAACUUUUCAACUACAAAGUUAUAGAUCACAUUGAAGGCUACAACUUUAAUAUAAAGUUUGUUUUCAUUCAAGUUUAUAUGAAAACGUUAUGAAUUAUUUUUCUAUAUAGAGUUUUUAGAUCGCUUUGUUUUGACCCAGGUGAGACUCAAGACCAAGUUUAGGGACUGAGAUGACACAACUGAAUAAAUUUAAGGACCUAAAUGGGUAAUUUCUAAGUUUAGAAACCAGGAUGACACAUCUGAACAAGUUUAGAGACCGGAAUGAUAUAGACAAACAAGUUUAAUGACCUAAAUGAUCAAUUUAUGAGUUUAGGGACCGAUCGAGGUGAUACAACAGGUGGUGGAUUUUACUAUAAAAACUCACAACAACUCAUGAAGUUGUUGAUGAAGCUGUGCCAAAUAAGGCCUCACUUGCUGACGGUGUUGUCACCCUUUUCUUCUUAUCUCACCCUUUACAGAUCUUUUACAAGAAACAUCUUGUAAACAAAUCGUUGUCACCCUUUUUUUUUUGUUGAGUGACCCCUUCUCGCUCUAGCAAGAUCUUUUGCCGUUCUUCAAAUGGUAACAUGAUGUACCACUCAACAUGCAUGGGAGGUAAAAAAAAUGGUACCUAGGUACUAAUACUUUUGAUAGCUACAGUACCAAACUCAAGUUAUAUAUAGUUUUGAUACCUUACCAACGAUAAAAAAACUCCUUACAAAUGACUUCUAUGGCUUCUUAUAGACACUAGUUGCUAUAUGAUAUAAGGACACAACUAUGACAAUUAAGGAGUGGUGGGGUCUUUAUUAAAGGUUUGUUUGGACUUUGGAUACAAGGCGUAAUUGCUAGUUAGCUAAGAACUAGCUCGUGUAUCUAAAUAUGAGAGUUAAUAGGUGAGUUACUUUUAUAGUCAUUUUUUUUACUAGUCGUUAGUCAACAACCAGUAACUAGCCAUGUGUAUCUAAAUCUCCUACAACUAAAAAGAACAAAACGUGGAUACUUUUUGGUGCGACAUUCUAACGUGGGCCCAUAGUCCUGCCUGCUGCGUUCCCGUGGCCACUCUACAUCGUGCAUGACAUCCCUUGCGAUAUUCAAUUCAAAUCAAGAAUCGAUAUGUCAGGUUCCAGUUUUUAUACGAUUGCCAUAUGAAGCCUUUCCGCCAAAAGCCGUCCGACCACGGUGAAACAAAAAUAAUAAUAAAAUCUGCCCCAAUUCACGGACGGGUGACCAACGUGGCCAUGCAUGAAAGAAAUCGUCUAAAAAAUACUCAACUUUCCAUCUCUUCCGCUCCCUUUUCUUGAGAAAAAUGGUCAACCAUCGUGCAACUAAUCAGGAGACCAUCCCACCGAUCCCGCGUGCACAGCUGGCGGAAGCCCCUCGCGCGGUCACAAUCUCUCCUCAAUCAUGCACGGACAUCGCGUUCCUUAGGCAAAAGCAGAAAUUCCUCUCGAUCAUGCGCCGCCGCAACGAAACAUCUUCCUUUCCUGCCCGACGCCCUCGCUCUCGGUGCUUGGAGAGAUCGAGCCGAGCAUACCGGCUUCCCCUGAAGGCUUGAGACGGACACAGUUGACUGCUUCUUCGUCAUUGAUUGUCGCCAGCAACUGCGCCCUUGGCAUCGGUGUGGCCUUGCAAGAUUGGAUCUUUUUGUUUUCAUCCCAAUCAUCGCCAUGGCGGCCUCCUCCCCCUGAACGAUGAACGCAGCUGCUUCGUCAUUGAUGAUCAGCUUCUGACCCUUCACCAAUCUCUAUCCCCUAUUAUUUGUUCCAUCAUCUGUUCCACUUUCCACGAUUGAUUCAGUACUGGUGUUGCAAACUUAUUUCGAUUCUCAAAAAGCGAACAACCUGAUCGGUUUGGUAAGCAUCUUUCUAUUCCAGGCUAUCGAAGCUCUCAUUAAGCUUUUUGAUUCAGUUUGUGCCAAAGGUACGUUCUUGGCAAAUGCGAGCUGGCACCAUGAAGCAAAUUAUAGCUAUUGGAGUCCAGUAGAUAAUAUCUUGUGUGAUCUCCUUGUUCUUAAAUAGUGUAAUUUAAGAAAAAACUUAUUCAUGUUUGUUCUCUUCGACCUUUUUAGAUACAAGACACAGAUUAUUAUAUUGAUAUCAUAAUUGGUUGUGGCAUUGAGGUGUGUAAAUUUAUGCUUUUCUCUUUUCUGUCGGUGUUUAAACUCUCUUCUGAAUUCAUGCCAUCCAUUGACUCCAGGUGAGAAACACCUCCUGUUGUUUAAUUGUUUUUUUGCUCUUGCUUUCAGUAUGAAUAGUCAAAUAUAGUCAAAACAAUAACCUGGUUCAGUAGUAAUAAGGAAUCAAGCUAUUGCAACACUUCUUGUCAAAAAAAUGCAGCACUUCUAGAGUUGCUACGGGUUUUAAAAUUCUCACUUGCUGCACAUUAGGAGACGAAAUUCUUGGUUUCAGUUAGCAGAGUGACACUUAUCACUGUUAUCUAUAAGGCAAAUCUAACAACAUAGCACAGAUUGUGGACAUCAGUUUUUUUUUAGAAAGUGGACAUUGUGGGCGGCUGAGCGGGCACCUACGGGUGGGCGCGGCCGGCGUCAUGGCCAGCUCUGGGCGGGCGCGGGGUGGGGGAGGGGGGUGAUCAAGGCUGAAUCACAGGAAGGUUUCCUUUUAGGUGCUGUUAGCUUGGUUGGCUAAUCCCACACGCUUGAGGAGUUGCCUCUAGGAGGGGGCUGAAAUCACUUGGAGUUUCUUUUGAAUAUCGCAACGGGUGGAAAUAUUGAUCACGAAAAAAGUGGAAACAAAUAGCACCUUGGCUCUUUCCUUUUGAAUAUAGCAAAGGAUGCUGUAGGUGGGCGACGACGUUGUAGGCUCACAAAAUCACUGUCGUUUGCAAUAACAAAUACCUAUGAUUUAACUAUUUCUAUAUAUUGCUGAUCAUGAAUCUUCCUACAGGUACUUAAGUGGAUUUCUCAUCCUACAAUAUAUGUCUACAUGGAAUAGACCAAAAGCCACACAUAUUUAUACAGUGAGUCUAACACUUUGUCUAAGUUUUUGUAAAAGUUUUUUAACAAAAUAUAGUAUUACCCAUGCGACACACACUAAUAUUUACAUAUAUAUACUCGAAUGUGUGACAGGAUGGUACGAAGAUGCGGCAGAAUUUAUUUGUGGAUUUACUGGCACAUGAAAGAAAUGGAUAUCCGAGAUAUCUUCCCGUCGAUAUUAAACAUUAUCUUAGCCGUAUCACGGAAAGGUCUAUAAAGUAGAGUUUGUGAGCCUACAACGUCGUGCUCUUCGUGACUGUGUUUGAUUUCACAAACAUUGCGAUCCUACAAUGUCAUUUUCAAGUUGUUAUUUAAGUAGAAGAUUCUAAUAUUAUUAUCUUGUUAUGCGAUCUAUGUAUUUUAAAUAAAAAAUGUUAGCUAUCCCGUAGCAACGCACGGGCAUGCUAUCUAGUAGAGUAGAAUUGUAAAAGAGAACAAUGGUAAUUCUAGUGUACUAUUCUUGAGAUGUCUAGAAAUAACAAAAUAGAAGGGCUUUGCACGGAAAGAGGAAUGUACUGUGAAAAACAUGGCAUAACUUAUGCCGAGGCUGUUCGUUCCGUUAAAAAAAUAAGUUGAAAAGAAAGUAAUGUUCACUAAUUUAUUGUGUGAGAAAAAUAUUGUAUCAUAGCUGAUAAGUCUGUAGUGUCAUUGUUAUAUUCGUUUGUAACAUAAAUUUGCAAAACUCUACAUUUAACAUUUUCUCUUUUUUUUAGAAAAAAAUGGACAGACACGAGAGCUACCUUUUAUAUAGUACAGUCAGGCUUCUCCUUACGUGAUUGAGCAAAGCUCGGUUGAGCAAACAAGGAUGACACAUCUGAACAAGUUUAGAGACCGGAAUGAUAUAGACAAACAAGUUUAAUGAUCUAAAUGAUCAAUUUAUGAGUUUAGGGACCGAGAUGAUACGACAGGUGAUGGAUUUUACUAAAAAAACUCACAACAACUCAUAAAGUUGUUGAUGAAGCUGUGCCAAAUAAGGCCUCACUUGCUGAUGGUGUUUUCACCCUUUUCUUCUUAUCUCACCUUUUACAGAUCUUUUACAAGAAACAUCUUGUAAACAAAUGGCUUAACUCUUUUUGUUGAGUGACCCCUUCUCGCUCUAGCAGGAUCUUUUGCCGUUCUUCAAAUGGUAACAUGAUGUACCACUCAACAUGCAUGGGAGGUAAAAAAAUGGUACCUAGGUACUAAUACUUUUGAUAGCUACAGUACCAAACUCAAGUUGUAUAUAGUUUUGAUACCUUACCAACGAUAAAAAAACUCCUUACAAAUGACUUCUAUGGCUUCUUAUAGACACUAGUUGCUAUGAUAUAAGGACACAACUAUGACAAUUAAGGAGUGGUGGGGUCUUUAUCAAAGGUUUGUUUGGACUUUGGAUACAAGGCGUAACUGCUAGUUAGCUAAGAACUAGCUCGUGUAUCUAAACAUGGGAGUUAAUAGGUGAGUUACUUUUAUAGUCAUUUUUUUGACUAGUCGUUAGUCAACAACCAGUAAUGUGGGGGUAUAAACCCCUAUACCCUUACGGCUAGACUUCGGCCAGGAGGCUUGGCCCAUUACGAGACGAGUCCAAGGCUUGAUCCGACAACCUGGAGUUUCGCGCAAGGAAACAAGAUGUGGAGAUCAAGCAGGAUUCUAGUCGGUUAGAAUAGAAAUUGAUAUCGAAUUAUCCAUGACAAUUGUAACCGACUAGGGUUAGUUUCCGGAUCUGUAACCCUGCCCUCCAGACUAUAUAAGGAGAGGCAAGGGACCCCCCUAGGACAUCAUAUUCUCUCAACACAAAUCAAUACAACCAGACGCAGGACGUAGGUAUUACGCCAACUCGGCGGCCGAACCUGGAUAAAAAGCUUGUCCGUGUCUUGCGUCACCAUCGAGUUCGUAGUUUGCGCACCGUCUACCGAUAAACUACUACCGUGGGUAUACCCCAAGGUAGACUGCCGACUAGCUUUCGUCGACAGUGGCGCGCCAGGUAGGGGGUGUGCGUGCAACUUUUCCGGCGAACAAGAUGGUCACGAUCCCAGCUUCCGCGACCGUGCCCGAAGGCCUCACGUUCACCGUCGGCCAGAUCACGUGGACGGCGUGCAGCGGCGGCUUCACGACCACGGUUUCGGAAGAGAUCCAGAUCCAAUCUGAGUUCACGCCGUCUCCGACCACACGCAUGACGGCACCAAGCGCCCGACCACCGUUCCCACUCUACAAGGGAAAGGAGAUCGACUGCUCGGACCUUCUCCAAGCGCUUGAUCGCGCUGACUCCAAGCUACUCGAAGUUUCCCAACUAAUAGAUGGAGUUCUGCGUCGGCCCGACCAAGCUGCUCCAGCGGAUUUUUUCAAAUCCCGCCGGCCAACUCGUGUCGCCACACACGAACGGCUGGGAACGUCUCUGACGAUAACCUCAACCCCCUCAGGACGAUCCGUCCAGCUCAAGAAGGAAGACUAUCCUUGCGGCCUGAACAACUCGACCUCUGUUUACUCACGGCACACCCAAUCCGUUUUCAGCAAGGCGGGUUGGUCGCCGACAACGAACAAUCGUCACCACGUCAACAUGGUGACAAUCCGAGAACUACGGGACGGCCAGGCUUCCAGCACCAACUCAAGCACCGGCUCCGUCCCCACCGAGGUUAUAAACACCGAAGACGAGGACUAUGACCUGGAUUUCCCUUCAUACCCUCCGGGUUUCGACCGAUUCCCGAUAUUCCCCCCCCGGCGAGGGGAUAUUGUGUUCAAUGUCAGCGCCGACGAACCGGUCGUUGAUGGAGAAACAGAUGACCAGAGGCAACUCCGCGAACGGCGUAACGCCGAUCGCGCCCGACGACGCGCGGACGAGCAACAACAAAUGCCACCAAAUAAUCUCAACGAUGCCUUUGACAUGGUCGGGGACCAGCCAGUCUACAAAACGCCAAGCGCCAACGUGGCUGUCGCCAUGGCUAACCUGGAUCGGCUUCCCGACACCCCCGAAUGCCAGGGAGUCCGGACCAGCAUCCGAGCACACCUGAUCGCCGCAAUGGGACAGACGGCCACUCUGCUCAAGAGAGUCUAGGACGUCUCUUAUACGGAAGCCGUCUCCGACCAGACUAAUCAUAGCCGGGCCUCACCCAGCAGGCGUCACCGCAGCCGCUCCCCCGACAACCGUCGAGGGGACUCACGGCGCGACGAUGGUGGUCGGGACGCCGAUGGCCGCCGCAAGCAGAACCGCGUACGCGGCCAAGAGGAAGAUCAACACAGGGAUCUCCGCCACAACAUCCCUUCCAAAGAUGCCCGGGACCACAUCAACAGGCGCGCUGCAGAGAGAGCAGUCCACGAAAACCUGCGCCGCAUCGAGUACGAUGCAACACACGGUCCCCCGGGCCUAAGACAGUUCUCCUCGCACCUCCGCCAGGUCGUGUGGCCCCGCAAUUUCAAGCUCGAAAAACUCAAAAAGUACGACGGCAAGGAAAAUCCAGAGAACUGGAUCACCCUCUAUGACAUCGCCGUCCGAUCAGCGGCAGGGGACGAGCACGUCAUGGCUAACUACUUCCCCGUAGUCCUCGACCAGGCUGGUCAUCAGUGGCUUCUCGGCUUGCCCGAGGACUCCUUCGACUCUUGGGAAGAGCUACGCCAGGCUUUCAUCGACAACUUCAUCGCCACAUGCGAGCAGCCUGGAAACAAGUAUGACCUUGAAAGGAUAAGGGACAGGAAGAACGAACCUCUGCGCGAUUACAUCCGACGAUUCUCGGAUAUGCGCCUCAAAAUCCCGAAGAUUUCUCAUGACGAGGCCAUCUCAGCCUUCAUCAAGGGCCUGCGUUUCCACGAAGCGCUGAGGAACAAGCUGUUGCGUAAGCGUCCAACAACGGUAGCAGAGCUCCUCGCCACGGCCAAAAAUUACGCCGAUGCCGAUGACGCAGAAAAACUAAUCCGAGACGAUGCGAGGGGUCCCGACCAGCCUCCCCGACGAGAUGAUGGUCGUGGUCGCAACGACAGCAGAAAUCACCGCCGCUCCGACAACCGCGAUCAUCGAGAGGGUUGGGAUCGGCGGCGCGACAGCCGCGAUGACUUCAGAGGAAAGCGCCCUCGCGACUACGACCACGAAGUAAAUACGGUCAAACGACCCAAUGGACGACGGGACUACCAAGAAGACUACAACAAAACGUUGAGGGGACCAUGCCAACUACACCCAAAGUCCAAUCAUACCAUGGAAGAGUGCCGCGUCCUCAAAAGUAUCUAUACACGGCGGGCCGCCCAAGACGACUCCGCCAAGAAAAACAACAAGCGCGACGCGCACGACCACGAAGAUGAGGAUGAGGACCAAGAUAGGGACCCCCGACACCAAUACGUCAGCCCCACUGACGUGGUCCACUCCAUUUUCGGGGGCAAGGUCUCCACUGAGUCCAAGCGAGAAAGAAAGCUGUUAAAGAGAGCCUGCCUCAACAUAGACAGCACGGACGGGCUGAUCGCAGACCCGAAAUUUCCCACGUGGUCCCACAGGGAGAUCUCGUUCAGCAGGAAGGACCAGUGGGCCGCUAUCCCAGAGCCGGGUCGUUUCCCCCUGAUUCUUGACCCCUGCAUCAACAGCAUCAGAUUCGAGCGCGUGCUCGUGGACGGGGGAAGCUCCAUCGACAUCCUCUUCCGCAACAGCCUGCCCGCCCUCAAGAUAUCCCCGGCACAACUAAAACCUUACGACGCCCAAUUCUGGGGGGUUUUGCCAGGUCAAAGUUCCGUGCCUCUCGGACAGAUAACAUUGCCUGUCCAAUUCGGCACACCCGACCACUUCCGGACAGAGUUCAUCAACUUCGUAGUCGCGGAUUUCGACGGGACCUAUCACGCCAUACUGGGCCGCCCAUCGCUGACAAAGUUCAUGGCAGUCCCGCACUACUCAUACCUAGUCCUUAAGAUGCCCACGGAGAAGGGUGUCCUAACCAUCAGAGGCAACGUCUACACUGCGUACACCUGCGAAGAAGAAAGCUUCAAGAUCACCGAGGCAAUUGACCUCUCAAUCCGCAUGGCGGAAACAGCAAACCAAGCCGCACAGCUGCCUCCCGACCAGCUCCGAUUACCCGAACAGGCGACAGCCAGGAAGAACUCAAAAUCCAAGGAGUACAAAGAAGUGCAGCUGGUCGAAGGCAACCCCGAGAAGACAGCCCUCAUCGGGGCCAACCUGGAUCCAAAAUAGGAAGACGCGCUCGUCAGGUUUCUAAGGGACAACGUGAGCGUUUUCGCAUGGAAACCCGCAGACAUGCCCGGUGUCCCACGAAACCUGAUCGAGCACUCCUUAAAUGUCUCGAAGACCGCAAGACCAAUCAAGCAAAAACUGCGACGGUUCGCUCGUGACAAAAAGGAGGCUAUUAGGACAGAAAUAACACGGCUUCUAGCAGCCGGAUUCAUAAAAGAAGUGUAUCACCCCGAUUGGCUCGCCAAUCCGGUUCUUGUACGCAAAAAGAAUAAUGAAUGGAGAAUGUGCGUUGAUUACACUGAUCUCAACAAACACUGUCCUAAAGAUCCUUUUGGUCUCCCUCGCAUCGACGAGGUGGUCGACUCAACGGCCGGAUGCGAACUCCUCUCCUUUCUAGACUGCUACUCUGGUUAUCACCAGAUCUCGCUAAAGGAAGAAGAUCAGAUCAAAACAUCCUUUAUCACACCCUUCGGCGCAUACUGCUACACGACCAUGUCUUUCGGACUCAAAAACGCCGGAGCCACUUAUCAAAGGGCCAUCCAGCAAUGCCUCCACGACGAGAUUCGUGAUGACCUCGUCGAGGCCUAUGUGGACGACGUGGUCGUAAAAACAAGGGACGCGAGCACCCUAAUCGACAACUUAGACCGAACCUUCAAGGCACUUAAUAGGUACAAGUGGAAGCUCAACCCCAAGAAAUGCAUUUUCGGCGUUCCUUCCGGUCUACUGCUCGGCAACGUUGUCAGUUGCGACGGCAUACGACCAAACCCUUCAAAAGUAAAGGCGGUACUCGACAUGCGACCACCGAAGAACGUAAAGGAUAUCCAAAAGCUAACAGGAUGUAUGGCCGCCCUCAGUCGCUUCAUCUCAAGGCUAGGAGAAAAAGGCCUCCCUUUCUUUAAACUGUUAAAAGCGUCGGAAAAAUUUUUUUGGACAGAAGAAGCCGACACCGCAUUCAACCAGCUUAAGACCUUCCUCACUUCACCACCUGUCCUUACAGCCUGGAGUUUCGCACAAGGAAACAAGAUGUGGAGAUCAAGCAGGAUUCUAGUCGGUUAGAAUAGAAAUUGAUAUCGAAUUAUCCAUGACAAUUGUAACCGACUAGGGUUAGUUUCCGGAUCUGUAACCCUGCCCUCCAGACUAUAUAAGGAGAGGCAAGGGACCCCCCUAGGACAUCAUAUUCUCUCAACACAAAUCAAUACAACCAGACGCAGGACGUAGGUAUUACGCCAACUCGGCGGCCGAACCUGGAUAAAAAGCUUGUCCGUGUCUUGCGUCACCAUCGAGUUCGUAGUUUGCGCACCGUCUACCGAUAAACUACUACCGUGGGUAUACCCCAAGGUAGACUGCCGACUAGCUUUCGUCGACAAGUAACUAGCCAUGUGUAUCUAAAUAGAGUAGAAUUGUAAAAGAGGACGAUGGUAAUCCUAGUGUACUAUUCUUGAGAUGUCUUGAAAUAAUAAAAUAUAGAAGGGCUUUGCACGAAAAGAGGAUGUGAAAAACAUGGCUUAUGCCGAGGCUGUUUGUUCGGUUAAAAAAAUAAGUUGAAAAUAAAGUAAUGUUCACUAAUCUAUUGUGUGAGAAAAAUAUUGUAUCAUAGCUGAUAAGUCUGUGUGUCAUUGUUAUAUUCGUAACAUAAAUUUGCAAAACUCUACAUUUCUCCCUUUUUUUUAAAAAAAAUGACAGACACGAGCUACCUUUUAUAUAGUACAGUCAGGCUUCUCCUUACGUGAUUGAGCAAAGCUCCUGCCAUUUCUUAAAAAAAUGCAAGCUCGGUUGAUAAGGGUUUUGCCGUUUGAGGCUUCCGUUGAGCAUCACGUUUGUGUAAACUCAGAAAAUAAACUAAAAGCUGCUGUGAAGUGAUUUCGUGGCUUUUGAUUUGUUCUGGAAGCUAAAUAAAUAUUAAAUAAAUUUAAUAAUAAAAAUACAGCUACAAAAUCAGCUUUUAUGUCAGAAGUACAAAAGGUACCGCUCAAACAAACUAGCCCUUAGGGGGGCGUUUGGUUGCCUACACCAGUCCUCCUGAGCCAGGCUCUCCGCGUGCGAGAACAGACAUUUGUUUGGUUGGCAUAUGUGCCGAGCGAGGCUACACGCGUGCAAAAAGCCUCUCGCAGCCAGGCUCUGCUGAAACGCAGAAAUCGGCCGUUUUUGUUGGGCCUGGCUCACCUCAUGCGAGCAAGCACUGAACGAUGCAUGACGUGUGAGAUAGAGAUACGUGAACACGGUGAACCAAACAGAUGCUGCUGUUGGCCUAGCUGUAGUGAUCCAAGUAACCAAACAAGAUGCUAUCGCAUACAUAGAGCCUGGUCAAAGUUGGCCUGACUAGCUCUGUGCGAGCUAGGCUCUACCGAGCAACGAACCAAACAGUCUCUAGAUGUCUUCUUCUCACUGUGUGAAAAAAUGGCAUUACAGACGCGCCUUUACUGAUAUCACAGAUGCUCCUGAGUGCGUCAGUGAUAUAAAGUCUGAUAAAUAUUUAAUAAGACCUUAAUACUGACGCACUUCUAACAUCCGUAUGUAAGUAACACAUAGACACGUCAGUAGUAAAGCUUUUUCAGCGACGCCUAUCUAGAACACACGUCAUUAAGGUCCAGCUCGUCAGUACAAAAUUCUAACUGCAGACGCUUCUUCAGGAAUAGGGGUCUGUAGUAAGGAUUAAGCCACAGACGCAUUAUCCAGAGACGCGUCUACAGUAUGAAUUAAAUUGUAACAGUACCAUCGGCAUAUCUCUGUACUAAAUACCUCAAUGAAACGACAUAAAUACACAUCAACAUCUCAUUAAUUAGUACACAGCUUUAACACAAUCAAAUACAGAUCAAAGUUUAAUCACUAAAUUAAAUGUGUAGCUCUAAUAAAGUCACGUUACCUUAUGGCUGGCUAUCGAAUAACUUAUUUUGUAGCUUGAUCAAAACUGGCUCGUGGUCACCAGCGCACCAUGUGUGUCCAUUCAUCCAUGGCAGCUUAGGCGCGUGGCUUUGGCUUUGUGUCUCCCACCUCUCUAGUGAACGCGAUAGCUCUUGAAGUUUUUAUAUUUUCCAAAAUAAUUUCAAUUUUAAACGCGUACUAAAACAAAUUCAGGGUUACUGAUACAAAAUAUGAGAUCGGGUCGUAGAAAAAAGUGCCGAGAGAAAAACUUUUAGAAUAAAAAUAUAGAAAACUUUUGAAGAUGAUUUCUUUUUUUACUCCUCAUGUUAAUCUAGGAGUUCAUAAACAUGAUAUUUUGGGGAAUAUAAUAUAAAAGAUCUCUUGGAGAUGCUAUCUUUUCUUCCACCUCUCUAGUGAACGGUAUAGCUCUUGAAGCACAAAUCCAAUUCUACGGACGUUCAUUCAUUCUACCUCUUGAAGCUUUCAUAUUUUCCAAAAUAAUUUCAGUUUUCAAGACAUAUUCACUGGAACAGCCUCCCAAUAUCUAUUCAAAAUGUAUUCACACGAAAAAGUAAAUAUAUAUUCCAAAUGAGCAAAAUUCCUUAUUUGGUCAAACUUGCGUAGGAUUCCAAAAGGGUUUUUUUGAACGGUGCCAUUACAAUUUCAAAGUAUUUGAAAUAUGCCAUUAUAAUUCAGGUAUCCUGAAGCGGACCAUUACAAUUCUUGCAAAAUUUGAAAUAUGCCAUUGGAUACGGUAGAAGGACGCUUGGGCCUGCUUGCAAGCCGACGUGGCAUACGGUCGACCGUAUGCGCCCGUCGCCGUGAGCCAUCUAAACGGCGCGGCAAAAAACGCCGUCUCCACCCCGCCCCUGACUCAUUCUCGCUCUCCAUCUCUCUGUCUCUCUCGAGCGUAACCCUAGGCGCGGCGGCGGCGGCGUGGCGGCGGCGGCGCAGGGGGAGGCAAUGGAAUAGGGGCGCAUGUCCAUGGCAGACGUGCCCCCGUGCACGGCGCAGCGCAGGGCGCCGCGGAUGGGGGAUAGCAACGAAAGGUAAUGUUUUGUCCUUCCAGAGCACGAAUACGAGUGCAUUAGGUCUUGAUCUGUUGAUUGGCAUUAGAUAUUGAUGUGAUUUGGUUGAUGCUAGGGUUCCGCUAUUUUCUUUAGAAAUUAAAGUGGAAGCAUUCUGUUGGAGAGACUCUUUGGGUAGGAAAGCUUACACAAAGGGCUCUGUAAUUAAGUGGGAUGUGGAGAUUGGCUCGUUUUCAUUUGAUGUACUGAUGGCCAGCUUGCGCAAUGCUGUCAAUUGCUCUACUACUCAGUGUCCAGUUGCUUGGUUCUAUGAUAAAAGGUUGUCUCAAGAUGUCAUGCUAGAAAAUCAAUUCCAGAUUAAUGAUAUGUUUGAGAUGUAUAAGGAGGAGAUGCAUUGCCACAUUGUCGUAGGGGUAUUUGAUCAGUCUGUUCCCACUAUUGAUCAAUUUGAUGAACUAGAUCUUCCUCCUGACACUAGCACUGGCAACCCAGCCAGUACUGACAGUUAUGUUAACCAGCCCACAUUUGAGGCAGAUGUUGCACCAGAGGCUGAAGUUGAGACUCAACUUGAGCCUGAUAGGGAACCUGAUAUGUUUGAUAACGAUGAGGAGUAUGUGGGUUGUGAUGAUGAGGGCAUGUACAUGCCAACACCACCAACACAGCCUCCUAGUAAUUCACCUCCACAUGCUUCUCAUGAUGCUGAAAAUGCUGAUGCUGAUGCUGAUGCUUUUCCUGUUGAGGCAGAGGUCACUGAUGCAGACCCUGAAGAGAUCAAUAUCAUUCAUGACCCAGAACAUCCCAAGAUUGUAAAGGGGGAGUUAUUUCCUGAUAUUGUUUCAUUCAGGAAAGCUAUCAGGCAUUUCUCUGUUACUAAAGGCUAUGUGUUAGCUGGUAUCAAAACAGACCCAUCAAGAUUUAUUGCAAAGUGCAAAUCCGAGGGAUGUCCUUGGCGCAUACAUGCAUCUAGGCUGCAGGGUAGAAAGACAAUACAGGUAACUGUCUAUUCACUAGUUCCUUUGUGCAAGUUUUAUUUUUUCUUUACCUGACAUGUUUCGUAUGCACAGAUCAAAGUACUGCCUGCAGAAGAUGGCAUCACAGUCUUGGUGUGCAGAUAGGCUGGCAGAUUGGAUAAAAAAACAUCCAACAAAACGUGCAAAAGAGUGCAGGGAGAAGUUGGAAGAUGAUUAUGGCAUCAAGCUGAAGUAUUCAAAGGCUUGGUCAGGUAUGCAGUGCGCAUUGGAUCAAAUCCAUGGUAAAUAUGAGGAAAGUUUUCAACUGCUAUUCAAUUGGGGUGCUCAAAUUGAAAAGGUAUCUCUUGGUAGCACUGUAGUGGUAGAGGUUGACAAAAUUGGUAAGAAGAACAGAUUCAAAAGAAUGUUUGUUGCUCUAAAGCCUUAUGUAGAUGGAUUCUUGGCUGGUUGUAGGCCUUUUUUGGGUAUAGAUGCAUCUUGUUUGAAUGGAAAGUAUAGAGGUCAGCUAGCUUCAGCAACCAGUGUAGAUGGACAUAAUUGGUUGUAUCAUGUAGCUUAUGGCAUUUUUGACAUAGAAAAUGAAGACAACUGGACAUGGUUCUUGCAACUUCUUAGUAGAGCAAUUGGGCCUGUCCCAAAUCUUGUAGUUUGUACAGAUGCAUGCAAAGGCGUGGAGAAUGCAGUGGGUAAAACUUUUCCAACAGCUGAGAAUAGGGAAUGCAUGAGACAUAUGUACCAAAACUUUUAUGAAGCACUAUUCUAGUGAUGUAUUCACAGACCACCUUAUCCUACAGCUAGAAGUUACACUCAAGAAAAAUUCCAGUGGCACAUGAAUCAGAUACAUGAGUAUGCUCCUCAAGCUAUAGAAUAUAUUGAGAAUUACCACAGCAGGAUAUGGUACAGGUGUGGGUUCUCAGAAAGUAGCAAGUGUGAUUAUUUGACCAACAAUGUGUCAGAAAGCUUCAAUGCACAGGUGAAGCACCUCAAAGGUUUAUUAUUACAUGAACUGGUAGAUGUUGAUAUUUGGUAACGCAAUAAGGAAAUAAUCCGCAAGCGCACGGAUAUCGGUGAGCAUUUCACCCGGGAGGUUUUCCAGAGUAUCGUAUUUAUAUUUUUACCACUGGGAGAAAGGGUGCAUCUGACUAACCAAAUCUAUUGCUACUAUCCCUUUAGGCUACAAAGAAUGUUUCUCAAUGUGAGUGAUAUAUAGAGAAGACUGCAACCGUAGUCUCGUUCUAACCUUGGUAAGGAUGAUCUACUGUUCUAUUGGGGAAGCUUACGGAAUCUAGACACCACAAAGGAUGUUUGACCCGCACCUAUAAACCUACCCGUCCUGCUAACAAGAUAUGGGAUACAAAGGUAACUCGGAAAUGUCACGUUCCUCGCUACUACCACGGUCCAGCUAGUCAGGGGAUAUCUAUGAGUACCCUAGUGAAAGGUCCUAAUAUGGCUAGAGGGGGGUGAAUAGCCUAUUUAAAAAUUCUACAAACUCACUAGAGCGAGAGGUUAGUAAAUAACAAAGCGAAGCCUUUUGCUCUAGCUCUAAUGGGGUGUUUGCAAGCCACCUGUCCAACAAUUCUAGUUGAUAUAAUCACUAGACACACAAGAGCUAUGUCACUACUUACACUAGAAAGCUACCUAAAGUUUCUAUACAAGUAAGUAAGCUACUCUAGUUUGCGGGAAUGUAAAAGAGAUGGUUUUAACUUUAUACCGCCGCAUAGAGGGGAUGAACCAAUCACUAAUAUGAAGUCCAAUCACCGGGAGAAAUCCAAUGAACAAUCACAAUGGAUACACACAAUUUUACUCCCGAGGUUCACGUGCUUGCCGGCACGCUACGUCCCCGUUGUGUCGACCAACACUUGGUGGUUCGGUGGCUAAGAGGUGUAGCACGAACCUCGUCCUCACUAGGACACCACAAGAACCUACCCACAAGUGAGGUAGCUCAAUGACACGAGCAAUCCACUAGAGUUACCUUUCGGCUCUCCGCCGGGGAAGGUACAAGACCCCUCACAAUCACCGGGAGAUGGCCACGAACAAUCACCAACUCGUGCUAAUCCUCCUCCGUUGCUCCAAGCCGUCUAGGUGGCGGCAACCACCAAGAGUAACAAGAAAACCGCAGCUAGAACGAUCCCCAAGUGCCACUAGAUGCAAUCACUCAAGCAAAUUCACUUGGAAUCACUCCCAAUCUCACAAAGAUGUUUAAUCUAUGAAGGAGAUGAGUGGGAGGUGUUUGCUUAGGCUCACAAGGAUGUUAUGUAUGUUAGAAUGCCAAGAGAGUGAGCCCCAAGCCGGCCAAACACGUAUUUAUAAGCCCCUCAAGCAAAUAGAGCCGUUGGCACUUUCACUGGGCAAACUGCGGGGUCACCGGACGCUCUCAAAGGGGCACCGGACGCUCAACACCAGCGUCCGGUGCUCCAACGUCAGCCAUGUGUCGCCUUUUGAAAAACUCGUGUCAGAGUCUAACGGUCACCUGCAGUGCACCGGACGCUAAGCAAGUUAGCACCGGACGCGUCCGGUGCACACCGGACUCAUGCGCAGAGAGCUCCGCAAACUCGCACGGUCACCGGACGCAAGCCACCGGACGCACCCUGAGCAUCCGGUGCUCACCGAACUCAUGCGCAGAGAGGGUUGCAAAACGCCCUCACACCGGACGCUAACCACCGGAAGCGUCCGGUGCUCACCGGACCCAUGCGCAGAGAGGGUCGCAAAACGCCCACACACCGGACGCGCACCACCGGACGCUCAAGCCAGCGUCCGGUGCCUAUCGUCCGGUGCCUUACCCUAGCUGGGCCAGGCACUGUCUGCACCGGACGCUCAGACGCAGCGUCCGGUGCUCCAGAAGCCAGCGUCCGGUGAGUGUUUUCUCAGCGAGAAACACUCCCACGACUACUCCAAAUUUCCUACCGACGCAAUAGAAAAUAUGCAUUUUAUUUUCUCGAAAAGCGCCGAAUCCCACCUCGCAAGCUCGGCGGGAGGGAGAGAGGAACCCAUCCUCUCUCUACGUACUCUUCAAACUCCACCUCCUUCUCAAAGUGUGCCAACACCACAAGUGUAAACCAACAAGUGUGCACGUGUGUUAGCAUUUUCACAAUCAUUUUCUUAGAAGGAGUUAAGUUAGCUCACUAGGUUCUAAAUGCAUACACAUGAACAAUGACACCUAGUGGCACUUGAUAACCGCUUAGCCAAAGAAUUCCCCUCUUUAUAGUACGGCUAUCUAUCCUAAAUGUGAUCACACCCUCUAUGGUGUCUUGAUCACCAAAACCAAAACCCUAAGCAAUACCUUUGCCUUGAUCUCCAUAGGGUUUUGUUUUUCUCUUUCUUCUUUUCCAAGUUGAGCACUUAAUCAUCUUGUGGUCAUCACCAUGAUCAUCAUGAUCAUCACUUGCUCCAUCACUUGGCAUGUACCAACCUCAUUAAGUCUACACACACUUAGUAUAGAGGUUAGUACUAGGGUUUCAUCAAUUAUCCAAAACCAAACUAGGGCUUUCACCUAGCCUAAACACCACGUUUACGCUAGCAAUAAUUACUCUAAUACUCAACCGGAAGAGGAUUAAAUUAAACUCAUAAACCAAAGAACAAUAAAACAAGAACUUACUAGAAUUAGAAGUCGAAUUACUGAAGAAUCUUAGAAGCAAGCCUCGGGUUAGAAGACUUGAUCCCGCAGGUACAACUCGGAGUAGACACCGACAGGUCGGCCUUCCUCCGAUCUACACCUCCACUCUAUCUCUCUCAAUCUAGUAGAAACUAGAAGAUCUAUUUCUACUUACAUUGGUUGCUAAGCCUAAAAAAAUAUUAUUUAGAGAAGAGGUUUUCCUUCGAGGGCACCCCUCAAUCUCUAUGAUAACUUCUUGUCUUCUCCAGGGGCCAGGGGGGUCUCCUUAUAUAGUCCUCCUCCUCUAUGCGUUUUUGGGUCGGUAGGCGAUGUGGUACUACAUUAUCCUUGAUCCAUUAGGUCGGUGGAACAUCGUGUGCGAAGAGAGUCCCGAACGGAGUCUAGGACACGGCGGGCGCCCAGGGAAAGAGGGCGGGCGCCCUGGGCCUGGCCCCUUUCGGCCUCUGCUUUCUUCCCGUGGCUUCUGGAGUCUUCUAGAUGGUAGAAAAUUACGCGGUGCGUUGAUAUCUCUAUGUAAUCCCGACAUGUGGGCCUUUCUUCCGUAUUUUUUGAUAACCCCCUGCAGAAAUAGACAAACACCAAAACUCAUGGAAUUCUGUCAGAUAAAACCCUAAGUCUAGAUGUUGAUUUCAUUUGGAUCCUUUUCUUUGUUUAUUUGAUAAUUAAAUUUGAUACUUAAGGACCGUCAACAGUAGACAGAAUUAGAGAGCUUAUAAUGGAGAAGAGAUAUUUGAGGAAGAAAGUUGCUAGGCAGUGGGAAGAUGGAAUCCUCCCAAAUGUGAUGAAGGAUUGUUGGGUAUUCUUAACAUCAUUACCAAAAGUAGACUAAGUUCUCUAAAUCUAGUAACGGUGCCAAAAAUGCCAAACCUAUCCCUCACACCACUUAAGCCAAGUUGUCAUCCCCAGCAUGACAUGAGAGACGCGGUAUUGAAAUAUGCAAUUGCUCUUCUAAAUAAAUAAUGAAUGAGAUCUGCAAGCGCACAGAUUAAUACCGAUGUAGCAUUUUAACCGGGAAGUAUUCUAGGUAUCGUUAUUUAUAUUUUUACCACUGGGAAGGGAUUAGCAAUCAUCACUAUUGAUUACAGAAUAGAAUAUGAGAUUGAGCAUCUAUCAUUGCAUGUAUAAUUGAGAACAUUUAUCUAACUCUUCAUACAGGGAUAAGUGUCACAUAAAAGAUAUAUGAAAUAAUAAUAGUGACAAGGAUAACUAAUCUGAUCUAGCCACAUAAUAAAUAUGAUAAGCACCUCAAUUAGAUACUCUAGAAAGUCAUUAGCAUGGUAUUAGAACGAACUAUAAGAAUAUUCCCUAAGUUAUUCUCAACUAUAUAGUUUAGCAUUAUCAUAGUUAGUGCAAGCAUACUUAGCAAUCAUUGUGAGACAAGACUACGCCCAUGCAUAGUGAUAUUAGCAAGGAAUAUGAGAAACAUAGCAAUCACUCCCCUAUAAUAAUGUUGCUCUGCCAGCCCAAUACACGAGAGGGGGACUAUAUAAGAAUCAAUGAAGCUGUCACUAUCACGAACCACCCCACGAUCUGGCAUAUUGGGUACAAUCGCAGAUAAAUAUGGUAUAAGCACCACGCCUACACAAUAUCUAUCAUUUACCCAUGGAUCCGAUGGAUAAACGCUAUACGAUCCUAAGCAUGUAUAUAGAUCGAAUCUAACUAAGCCAAGUACAUAACUAUGAUAAACUAAGAACAAUAUAAUCUUGAAUAUAAGCAAGUAGAGCAAAGUCAUAAGCAAUAUAUUGAAGUAGAACAAAGUCAUAUUUAUAAUAUUGAAGAACAAAGAUAAUUAGAAAGUAAUUAGAAGCACAAUUAGAGAAUUACCAAGAAUCCUCUUGACAGAUCCGGAAACCAAUCGAAGAUUGACUCCUUCUAGUUCUAAUCCUAUGUAGCUAUGCUAAUCUAGAUAUCUAAUUGAUGUGGUGGCUCUAAUCUUGAUCAGAGGCUUCUUCUCCCUUGAAGAACAAUGAAUUAGGGUUGAGAGGCUCCCCCCUCUAGGGGCCAGGGGGUCUGGUUUUAUAGUCCCUUCAAGUGAAUAUGGGCCGUUGGAUCAAACCGACAUAGAUUGUAUGGUUUAGAUUCAUCCUUUAGGUCGGUGGAAAUCUCCCACGAAGCAGAGUCCUGAUUGGACUCAGGAGGUGGGCGGGCGCCCUGAUCACCUGGGCGGGCGCCCAGGGUCACGCCCCGUUUCGCCUCCGCUUCGGUUUCGUGGCUUCUGGAGUCUUCUAGAUGUAAGAUAAUUGCGCGACACGUUAAUAUCUCUAUGUAAUCCCGACGUGUGGGCCUUUCUUCCGUAUUUCCUGAUAACCCCCUACAGAAAUAGACAAACACCAAAACUCGUGGAAUUCUGUCAGAUAAAACCCUAAGUCUAGAUCUUGAUUUCAUUUGGAUCCUUUUCUUUAUUUAUUUGAUAAUUAAAUUUGAUACUUAAGGACCAUCAACAAGGAUCUCAACCUGAUCAGUACUCAACUCAAUGUAGUCAAGGUCAAAGUCAGUGAUGAUAACACUGCUGAAGUUACAAUCCUGGAGUGGGAGAAGCAAAGGAGGCACACUGUGGACCUAGGAAACCACAAUUGUUCCUGCAGGCAGUGGCAAGUGACUGGAAAGCCAUGUAAGCAUGCUUUGGCUUGGAUACUGUCAAUCCCAGGGAUGAGAAUUGAGGAUUAUGUACAUGAGUACUAUUCAGUUGCUAGAUUUAAGGCAGCUUAUGCUGAUAGGAUUGAGCCUAUCCCAGACAAGGAUGAAUGGCCUGUUGUCAACCUUGGUUUUAAAGUGUAUCCUUCAUUGCUAGGCAGAGGUCCAGGAAGGCCAAGGGUUGUAAGAAUUAGAGGGACUUUUGAGCAGAGGGCCACGAAGAAGAAAGUUAGGUGCAAGAGAUGUGGUGACUUUGGACAUUUUUCCAAGACCUGCAAGUUGCCAGAACUAGGUGAAGAUGGAGAAAGAGGACAAGGGUCUUCAAAAAGGUAUUAAAACUAUUGUCUAACCAUUUUAUUAUUUUUUCCUAUGUACUAAGAUCUAACCGGCUAUUGUCAUCUCAACGCAGAAAGAGGCCGACUCAGCAAGUGUCAUCACAGGAAGCUCCAACGCAGGAAGUACCAACACAGGAUGAUGCUGGACCUUCCCAGGUGAAGAAGACCAAGCCUCUGAAGAAGGUUACAACUAAGAAGAAGAAGAAGACACCAAAGAAAACAAAGCUGCAGAGGGAAGCAGCUGCACCUGGGAAGGCUGUUAUCAGCAGCAUCAGGCACCUGAUCUAUGAUGCUCCACAGGAUGCUGAUCUAUGAUUCUCCACAGGAUGCUGAUCUAUGAUGCUCCACUUAUAUGGCUUUGUUCUGAACCUUACUAUGUAAUGAGGCAUUAGAAUGCCAACUUGGAACUUGUAUGGCUGAUGCUGCUACUAUGUAAUGAGGCAUUAGAACUUGCCAACUAUUUUCAGUCAUGUGAACUCUACUUAUGUUAGUUUGUACUCUCCUGUAUUGUGUCAAUUAUCAUGUGAACUCUACUUAAAAUGUUAAGAAAACAAGACAAAGUGCUGCAGAAAUUCUAAUAUAUUUUGAAGCUGAAAUUCUAAUCUAUUUUCAGUGACAAAAGGCAUAGGACAAUGCUGAUCAUACUCAUCGAAGAAACUCAGUGACAAAAUGCUUGUUCUUUCAUUGCAAAUACACAUAAUUACAGUCACUUCAUCAUCUGAGAAAAACCUACACCUAGCAGUACACCCACAAGGACACCUACAACAACAGAUACAUCCAACACAAUUUGCAUUUUCCCCUUCCUGCCCAAGUCCAGUGCUGGACUCUGAUUACUAACUUGACUAGGAACAGCAACAACAUCUCUGUCUCCAAGUUGCACCUUCAUUUUCUCAAGUUCAGUGACAACUCUAUCUAGAGUUUGCUUCAUCUCCUUGUCCCGUUGAUUCAAAUCAUCAUUAGGAUCCCCAACUGCUGAAUGAAGGGGCAACUGCAGCUGAAUCUCUUUCUCCUUUUGCUUCAUAAACCAUGCCUCGUACUGCUCCUCCGAACGAAUCCAGCCACAAGUUGUUGGAUCACCCUGUGCAAGCAACACCAGUCAAAUUGAAAACAAAGGAAGCACAUUCAAGGGCAUAAACAAUGCAAAUAGUUACCUUUACGUUGUUUGGGCACUUGAUGAAUGCGACAUCCUUUGAGUGCUCUUGCUUGCUCACGAUUCGGAUCAAAGGAACAUUGCACACUGGGCAGUUCAGUAGGGGGCACUGCACCCUUCUACUGCCAGCAGCGGAAGAGCUCGAGGCCAUCUUCAUCUGCAGCGCCGCCGUCGGGAUCGUGGCACCGGAAUCGCCGCCGCCGCGCCUAGGGUUACGCUCGAGAGAGACAGAGAGGUGGAGAGCGAGAAUGAGUCAGGGGCGGGGUGGAGACGGCGUUUUUUGCCGCGCCGUUUAGAUGGCUCACGGCGACGGGCGCAUACGGUCGACCGUAUGCCACGUCGGCUUGCAAGCAGGCCCAAGCGUCCUUCUACCGUAUCCAAUGGCAUAUUUCAAAUUUUGCAAGAAUUGUAAUGGUCCGCUUCAGGAUACCUGAAUUAUAAUGGCAUAUUUCAAAUACUUUGAAAUUGUAAUGGCACCGUUCAAAAAAACCCAUUCCAAAAUAGAAAGUCCUUUUCCUUCCCAAACAGAAAACCAUGUUUAUCUGCCAACAGUUUCUAACCCAUGGGUCCCACGGGUGCCAACGGUUUCCCUCUUGAUCCUCCCCAAUCGCCCGCUCACACCACCACGCCGCCACGCCGCUCAUCGUUAACUUCCUGCCCUCCACGGACUUAUCCGCUCGUCGCGCCCGCCUCAAGCUAAUGACGAAUCUAAUGAGUAGAAGAGUGAGGGCAUGUGUCCUUAAGGAAAAAAAACGUCUUCGACCAGAAAUCUCCACCUGCCGCGCUGUGGAGUUCUCGUGCUGGGGCUCCUCCCCGUGCGUCGCCACGGUGCCGUGGCUGACCACACGAGCGCGGCUUGGCAUGCGUCUAAAGAUACAGUGGCCGUUGUUGGAGAUGACCUUGAAGCUGUGCAUCUGCCAUUCUGCCUUCCAUUGGUGCCUAUGGGGUACACUGUCAAACAGCGCUGGUGCCCCCUCCAUCGGCGCGGGAGGAAGAAGAUGACCAGGUUGAGCGGUGUGGAACCGUCGUAAACGAAUCUGCGCGGUUUCUCCCAACACGGUUGACUGUGGGCUGAUUUACGGGUACACGGUUAGUAUACAGCAUCGUACAUACCACUCAUAUAUAUAGUCAUAUAUAACAUCUCAAGUCCAUACACGGCACACUGCUUAGAGAACCUUUAUUUAUUUUGUAUGAAAAAGGGACAUGAAAGAAAACCAUUCUCCGAAUAUAUCAAAACAUGUAUAAGGCUGCCCGUGAAGUAGAAUCGCAUCCCCAUCCACAGAUUUAGUUGUAGGCGUCGGGGUUGGCGACGAGGUAGGCCUCGGCACCCUUGAAAAUGGCGGUGAGUGCCUCCUUGGCCUUGGCUUCCUCGUCCUUCUCGUCCAUGCCCGGCAGCAACUUGUAGGUCGACUCCACCUUCACCACGCUGCCGCCGUCGGCCGUGGGCUCCACCUUGAUGUGUGACGCCGCGGUCUCGAUGGCAACACCGAUGCCGCCGCCCUCGACGAGCGUGUUCUUGCACUCGCACUUGUCCACGUCCAGGAAAUCGAGCCUCUCCUUCAUGAAGCUGAACGGCAUGACUGCAAGAACGAUCGCGCACGUCAUUCGCUAGCUAUUUGAUCGAUCGAUCGGGCGACAACAUGUUGGUCUGGGCGACUGGGCAUGCUGCGGACACUUACAUGAGGUGAAGUUGAACUGCCUGACGCUGCCAACGCCGCCGUCGCCCUCCACGGGGUGGGCGCUGGCGACGACGUGGGAGGCGACCUUGGGCGCCAGGGUGUGCCAGUCCAUCACGGCGGCGCGGAACAGGCGCGGCGCGGCCACCGGCGACGGAAUCUCCAGGGUCCAGCUGCUGGCGGAGGCCAUUACUUCAGUGAUCGGCCGAGAUAAACUAAACUAGGUGCGAGCCGAAGCUGCUUAGGUGCUUGUGCUGCUGCAGGUGGUUUUAGGAUUGCGCUUUUGCUUGCGUUGCCAUUAGAGUGGCGGACGGAGGACUUUAAAUAGGCGGUUAUGGCGGGGUUGGUGGCGUCCCGUGAGGAUGAGACGCUCGGGAGUCGUCGUCGGCGGCUCUUCCCACUUUGGCUUGGCACGGCACCGUCGCUCGUCGGUCCAUGUAGUUCAUUAUAAUAUACUACAUGUUGCCGGGGUUGCGGACAAACGUCUGGAAACGUGCUGCCAUUCCGUCAGCGUUCAACCCCUGAAGGUGUAGAAUAUAUAUCGUCGAAUUGGCGAGCCAAAUCAGCUUCCAGAUCAAAAAGCAUGUACUGUAAGCGUGGGUUGGUGUCAUUAGAAACGAGAAUUAUACCGUACGUGAGCGUCCUGACUACUUGCAUCACUCUUUUGGUGUCGCACUGUCGCUAUUAACUACUAAUAAUAAACAUAAUCCUGUAAAUCCACCUCUUUUUAAUCAUCCUAUAAAUACCUCUACUGGCGACAGCAUGGACAAAGCUCAUACGGAAAAUAACAUAGUGGUGGCCAAAGCUGUAUGGGAAAAUAUUGAUUGCAGACUAUCAAUUGGGUGCAAAAGUACUCAGUGUAAACUAUUAAUUAAGUGCAAAUAUAAAGACAAUUGCUAUGUCACAGUUGAUUGUUUUAGCCUCCGUGAAUAACUGAUUUCCUGGCCGUUUGAUUCUUAUCACGUGGGAUGAAAGAAAGACCAACAACGCUGCGGAAGCAGAGCGUGAGGAAGGACCGAAGGAGCCACCAGGGGUCCACUGAUGUCGCCAUUAGCACCAAGGAGAGGCCGUCGUCAGAGUCAGAGUCAGGGUUGUAGAGGGCUAUCACGUCCGUUGUCGAGGUCGGGGUGGGGUAAAGAUGGCAAUGGAUAAUUACCCGCUGGGUAUAUGCUACCCAUACCUUUACCGAUGAGAAAAUAUUUUACCCGUUAAUUUACAUAUCCAUGUAUGGGUAAGAGUUUUUUCCCAUACCCUUACCCACGUGGGUAACGGGUAAUCCAUGAGUUUUCUUACCCAUGAUUCUAAGAAUACUUGUAAAAAAUAAAUACAUAUUUAAAUAUUCUAGACUCCCAAUUUCAGCCAAAGUAUCAUAAGUCAUUAAUAAAAUCAUCAAAUAUACAAGCUCCAUGAAUACCUAAUCAAGUAAUCUAAUAGAUAAAUCCAUCAUUACUAGACAACAAGUGACAAAAUUUACAAGUUUCCGUGUUGUGCGGCCGCCGCAAGGAGAUAGGGGAAAGGUGAGAGAGCGGAUGUGUGAGGUACUAAGGUGAGGGCCUAGAGUUUGACAGCAUUAUAUAUGAUUUUUAUUGGACUUGGCCUGUGUAUGGUGAUUUUGGUCCAUAAUUCUAACUUAUUGAAUCGGGUCCAAUCCCAUACCCUUACUCGCUUUACCCGCUGGCUAAAGCUUUUUCCCAUUAUCUUACCUAUGGAUAAAAAAAAUAGUCAUACCUUUACCCUAAUGAAGUAAUUAACCAUCGGAUUUCGAGUAAAAAUUGACAUCUUUAAGGUGGGGAAUGGCCGCCGCAUCUACCAUAGCCACCUGCUUCCUGAGAUCCAUGGGGAAAGAGCCCGCCGCUAGCCGAGGGUGAGGAGCCGCCGCCUCUGUGUGGCCAACUUCAUGUCGGGCCUCUACCGUGGCGGGGGUAGCUCACAGAAGGGAAGGGAUAAAGUUGGUGAGGGUGGGUCCCACCAUAAUUGGUGAAUAAUUUGCCAUGUAUUUCUCUAAUAUCUACUAUCUAAAGAAAUAUUUUGUAUUUUUUUCUGAAAAGUUUGGCAUAUUUGUCUUUGAGAUAUGUAAUCUAUAAAAAUACCUAAGAUAUAUCACUAUAUCCAAUAAAUGACACUAUGUGUUAGCAUUUUCUCACUACAUUUUCAAAGGUGUUAACACACUAGAUUCUAAUGCAUAUGCAUUAUCAACAACAGCUAGUGACACUUGAUAAACCGCUUUUAACCAUAAUUUUCCUCUCUUUAUAGUACAGCUAUCUAGUCGACUAGUCCAAACCCAAUUAUAUCCUCUAUGGUAUCUUGAUUGGCGAAACAAGAAUGGCCCUAUCACAUACCUUUGCCUUAAGCUCAUUUUUAUUUUUCUCUUUCUUUUUUUCCAAGUUGGAGCACUUGAUCUUCACACUUGACCACCUCCAUCAUCUAUAGAUGCCAUAAUCUAGCUGGUGUGUACCAAUCCUAUUUCCUAUCUUAUAUACACCUAAAGCAAUGGUUAGUAGACUUAGAUCUCAUCAAUUAUCCGAAACUAAACUAGAACUUUCAUGUAGUGACACAACAUCUACUUUCUCUCACCCUUCCUCUUUCAUGGAAUGCAAGCAUUCAUACAUCAUUAGUAUGUUGUAUGUAAUGAGUCUCUCUAGCACAAACACCGACUGUUCUUCCGAAAUCACCUUUGGGAAAAAAUAAUCCACAGUCUGUUUGCCACCGUCUUAGAAGCAAUCUUAUAUAUCAUGUUACAUAGACUGAUGAUAGGCCAAAACAGCCCGCUCGACCAACUUCUCCACUUUUGUGAUCAAUACUAUUCAUGUGCUAUUUAUCACAGAAGGAUCAUCCUCGCCACAUAAGUCCUAGUGCCGCUAAAAAAAAUGAGCAGGAAAACCAUCUGGCCCCGGCGUUUUUGUCUUAAACAUGUGAGAAAGCUUAGUCCUGAUCUCCUCCUUUCGUAUACAAGGCGAGUGUCCUGACAACUACUUGCAUCACUCUUUUGAUGUUGCACUAUCGUUGUUAGCCUUAUCAUUAACUCCUUUCCUCUCUAAUCUCUAGAAUUAAGCAAAGAUUUGAAUGCUUUCUCAAUUUACCAUCAUAUAAUUAUUAUAUUAUAAUAUAAUCAAAUAAAUACACCUCUUUUUAUUCAUCCCGCAAAUAUAUCUAGUGGCAAUGAGUAUGGAAAGAGCUAAUACGAAAACUAUCAUAGUGGUGGCCAAAUACAUGAGAAAAUAUUCAGUGCAAACUAUAGAUUGGGUGCAAACAUAAACCCUUUAUAACAUAAUUAGAUGUUUUCUUAAAAAAAUGCCCACUUCGCCACUAAAGUUAAGAUACAAAGAAAUGGGGUGGGGGUGUGAUGCAAAGAUAUUGGAGAGUGAAUCUCUUCUUUCAAACCUCCCAAGAAACUAGUCACAAAGUAAACAUAAUCGUAGGAGCUAUUGUACAAUAGAAUUUGAUGCGCAGGCUGUUCAAGCUACUCAAAUUACUGUGACCGAACUAGUCUACUGAAGAUGAUUGUUUCAUACAUAACUCAUAUUGGUCACGAUUAAAAUAAUUACAAACCGCAUCACAAGAGCAGGCCAAGAUGUGAAACAACCACACAACUCUUUAAAUUGUAACCAAGUGGCAGCGGUCCUCCAGAACUCAAUGCAACAGAGCUAGGCUUCAAUGUCUCGCUGAUAGAGUACAUCUCAAAAUAGAUCUUACAGUGAUCCUUCCACAACCAUAAAUUGUCACCAUCAAAUUUGGGGAAAUAUGAUUUGGGCAUCGGACCAACUGGAGAUGUAUAAGAAUAUGAAUGUUCCAUCGGUCCACCUAUCAUUCCCUUGUACUUGCGUGCCCGUUAGUUAGCUAUUAUGUUCCUCUUUUUUAUUGGAUCCCAAACACCUCUGCUUCUAGACCAACUUCCAUCGUCGUCUACACAUAUCCCAUGGAGUUAGAGCAAGUUUAAUUAAUACAGUCCACUUGCUGACUGUAAGGUUCCUUACAGCCUUCUUUCAGCCCCACCCAUACAAUAGUUAGUUAUUCAUUAUUAAUACAUGACUCACUUAUCUCUCUUACAAAGUUUUCAGCUUACAACAUGCUUCUCUUCUCUCUCCUCCACCUCAGUAUUUAGCCAGCUUACAGCCCACUAUAAUACUUGCUCUUAUGACAAAUGCCUACUUCUCUCGCCUUUUUAGUGAACACUAUAACUCCUGGAGUCUUCAUAUUAUUCGAAAAAUAAAUUCAAAUUUCAACAAUGACACAUUCAGCAGAAUAAAAAGUCUCCAAAUUUCUAUUAAAAAAGAGCAAACAUUCCUUAUUCAGUCAAACUUGCAAAGGAUUUCAAAACAGAAGACCUCGUAUAACCAUGAGGGUGUAAGUAAUCUCACAAACAAAGCAUCACAAACCACUUAUAAUCUCAAGUCCAUACACGGUACACCACACACUGCAUAGAGCAACUUUAUUUUGUUUUGUAUGAAAAAAGAGGAAAACUCCAGGAAAGAAAAAAGAAAAUUAAACCCAAACUUCAGGAAGGGGAAUCGCAUCCCAAUCGACUGAUUUAGUUGUAGGCGUCGGGGUUGGCGACGAGGUAGGCCUCGGCACCCUUGAAAAUGGCGGUGACUGCCUCCUUGGCCUUGACUUCCUCGUCCUUCUCGUCUACGCCAGGCAGCAGCUUGUAGGUCGACUCCACCUUCACCACGCUGCCGCCGCCGGCCGCGGGCUCCACCUUGAUGUGCGACGCCGCGGUCUCGAUGGCAACACCGAUGCCGCCGCCCUCGACGAGCGUGUUCUUGCACUCGCACUUGUCCACGUCCAGGAAAUCGAGCCUCUCCUUCAUGAAGCUGAACGGCAUGACUGCAAGAACGAUCGCGCACGUCAUUCGCUAGCUAUUUGAUCGAUCGAUCGGGCGACAACAUGUUGGUCUGGGCGACUGGGCAUGCUGCGGACACUUACAUGAGGUGAAGUUGAACUGCCUGACGCUGCCAACGCCGCCGUCGCCCUCCACGGGGUGGGCGCUGGCGACGACGUGGGAGGCGACCUUGGGCGCCAGGGUGUGCCAGUCCAUCACGGCGGCGCGGAACAGGCGCGGCGCGGCCACCGGCGAUGGAAUCUCCAGGGUCCAGCUGCUGGCGGAGGCCAUUACUUCAGUGAUCGGCCGAUCGACUAAACUUGUGCUAGCUGAAGCUGGUUAGGUGCUCAGCUCUAUGGGUGGCAGCUACUGCUUGUGUUGCCAUGACACUGGCGGACUGAGGGCUUUAAAUAAUAGGCCGUUAUGGCGGGGGUUGGUGGCGUCCCGUGAGGAUGUGUAUGAGACGCCCGGGACGGAGUCGUCGUCGGCUCUUCCCACUUGGGUUGGCUUGGCACGGCACCGCGUGACUCAUCGGUCCAUUAGUCCAUUAUUUUAUCGAUAUCAAUAUGUAUGUUGCCGGGCUGCGGACAGCCGGACACACGUCACCAAACGGGCUGCCAUUCCGUCAACGUUCAACAUCUAGAAGGUGUGGAAUAUGUCGUCGAAUGGCACACCGUCGGGUCUGUUUGGAACGAAAGUGAGAGAAAAUACAGGAAAUAGAUAAGGAAUACAAUGGUCCUGUUUAAGUUAGAGGUUAGAGUUAUUCUCUAGUUUAUGACUAGCCCUCAAGUAACUCUAGCCAAAGAGAUGUUUGUAUGCAAGGGUUAGUGUUGAUGCAAAACUGAUCUGCAAACACAAAGGGCUAAUACCCGAUCCAAACGUUAAGGCGUGCCAGCCGAUUUAACCUUACUAUCGGCAAAGGUGAUAACUCGAAUACUUUAGUCCUGACAACAGCGAUGCGCCCGGAUGUCACGGCUAAGAGGUACUCACGCGGAACUUGAGAACACGCCGAGCUUAAGUCGACGAAUUCCUAAGAACUCGUAGUAAAAAGGAAAAAGUACGACGAAGUCGUCGAAAAAGUAGAUGCUGGAAUAUGAGUAAAAACGUGUGUUUGAUUGAUUGAUAGAUAGCUCAUUACAAGGCCCUAGGGUCUAUAUUUAUACCCUGCUCAAAGAGCUACAACCAGACACGAUUAGAAUUCGAAUUCCAAACUACACGGAAUCCGUAUACAAAACGAUGUAAAUAAUUAAAGAAAUAACAAAACUAUCCCCCGUGACAAACUGAAACUCCUCCAUACAACGACCGGCAGCUUCCGGACUCCCUCUUUGCAUCAUCGGCAGAUCUUUUGCCAUAGUCAUCGGCAGACUUUCUUAUCCAGUCAUCGGCACAAUCAUAUCACUGCCUGUAGACUUAGUCACGUUCAACUUCUCCUUCAUCGGCAACCAUCCUCAUCGGCAACUCACCCUGUAAACAUCGUACUGCCAUCUUAUCCUGCCAUCCUAGACACGUGCACAAAAACGGUGUCAACACAUGCCCCCCAGUUUCGGAGUAUAAAACUAUUAAUGCUCCGAAAUUCUCUGCAGUAAUGAUGCCUUUUCCCGCAAUUAAUGCUCCUAAUCUGGUAACCGACAACCUCAAUCUGAACAACUCUGAUCCUAUUCCUCCGCAGAUUCCUCGAAAUCCCCAACUUCCUAAACGGGCAUUUCUUCUCAGUCGUACGUCGGCAAUAAUACCGUUACAAAGAUUUGCCGAUGUUCUGACCAGGAUAUUCGCACAAAUGGUUACUUCCCCUCGAUCCGCCCAUCGGCAAUAUGACCGUUAUAGAAUGCUGCCGAUGGACCGACCAGGAGAUCUAGCACAGUAAAAUAUCUUCAGAUAAUGACCGCUUCCCGUCAAAUCACCUGCACAAUCCCUGGAUUAUCGUGCGAACAGUUACCAUAUCUUCCUGAGUACCCUCGGAUCUCUCGGAAGCGGCAAAGAGAAAAGUCAGAUUUGCCCUUGCCCAUUUCGUCCUAUAAAUAGUUCCUUCUCGGGUACUCCUUCCCUAUCACAUCAUUCCACCACCCAAGUUUACUUUUCCAGCGGCGGCGCCAUCCGAAGCUCCCAAGACCUCCAACAAGCAUUCUUCCUCAUCAACCCCGGUGUCUUCAAACACUUCCUUCGCAGCAAGAUGGCCGUCGGCUUCGUCGUUCCUGAGGUCAAAUCUCCACCCCGUCUCCUGUAUUUUUCUUCAUAUCCCUGUUCACUCGCAAUUCAUUUUACUGAAUAUCUCCCUUUUCUUUUCUCUUUGUAUUUCUUUUUAUCCCAAAAAUCACUAGGAAUUGUCCAAUAAAAUUGUCAUCCCCACUGAUCAACCACACCUCCAAUGUCUCGGUCCUCUAGGAGAUCCAGAUCCAACCGACCUUAUUAAUGCAGAAACCAACAGGAUCCCCUUUAGAACUGAAAAUUUUUCUUUAGAUCUGUGGAAAGAUACCUUCCGUUCUUGGCCUAGCCCUACCGUAGGGUGGAAAGACUGGUUCUUGAGAGUCAGCAAUUCUUAUGAAGUCCAGUGGGGCGAAAGGAAGCUAGCCCAAUGCAUUAGAUUGUCCAUUGCCGAUAUGCAUAGGAACGAGUCAUGCUGAUAGCUGCAUCCUACUUUUGGUCAGACACCCUCAAUGCUUUCGCCUUUGGCCACGGCCCUGCUUCUCCUACCCUUGCCGAUGUGGCCAUGCUUACUGGUCUAGAUAUAUCUUCUGCCGAUAGCACCUACUUUUUUGAUACUGCCCCUAGUGCCAAAGUGGAGACUCGCGCUAUCGGCGGUUGGUCAGGGUACAUUCAGAAGUACCGUGGGAAAGGAUCCGUCACCAUAAAGGAACAAACCACCUUUCUGAACAUGUGGCUGGACAAGUUUGUAUUCUGUGGUCGAUCGGCAGGACCAACUUCCGUUUAUCUAUCGGCAGCGGAGAGACUGGCUAACGGUGGCCAAUUUCCUCUCGGCCGAUACUUGCUUGGCGCUGUUUACCACCUUCUCCAUCAGGUAGCCCAGAAACUCCUGCUCGGCCAGUCCAUCGGCAACCUGGGAGGCCCCUGGUGGUUUAUUAAUAUGUGGCUCAAUCUGCACCUGCAUAAGCGCCUUGAUUUCAACUUGUUCACACAGCACUUCCCAAGAGAUAUAGCCGAAAACCAUGUGUUGGGUGAAGAGGAAUCGGCAACGCGUGCCCCCUUGAACUUUGGCGAAGCUGUCAUCGUUCUACCUGGUUCAGGGAGUAAUCCGGAUCAGAUCGGCCGAUUCUUCCAGGUUCUGUAUGAGGGUUUGGCCAGAGACGAACGACCAUGGUUGGCUUAUGAUGACCCAGAUAGCAUGCUCCCUCUGUCCUUCAAUCCAUUUGAUGAAGCUCUCGACAGGGACAAUGAGACGAUGAUGGCAAUUGUGACUCCCAGAAUCAUUCCAGUGAAUUUUUUUUGGUAGCACAAAAACCUCUCCUCAGACUUAUGAAUUUUACAAUCCAUCGGCAUUAGCUCGCCAGUUAGCUUUCGGCCAGUUGCCGAUUGCACUUCCUUAUGCCGAUGUGAUAAAACCCAGAGAAACCAUCAACAACCUCCUUGAGUGGAUUCGAGUAGCCCAACUACCACCAAACGCCGAUACAGAUGUAGAUCUGUCAGAAUGGGUUCCGGCUGCUUUUAUCACUCAGGCAUACAAGUUAUGGUGGGCAGAGUGGAAAGAGCAUCUAUUCUGCAGAUCGGCCCUUUCAUACCGCGGCAUGAUCGACUCCGAAUACGAAGUUCCCGAUGACACUGUAAGUAACUCAAACCGAUGUUCCAUUUUCUCAAUACUAUUUCCAUCGAUAGCUUACCCUUGUAUUCCUUUCGCAGGUUGACAACAUCCCCCCAUCGGUUAGCAGGAGCGGCAAGCCGAUCGACUUGUUUCCAUCAGGCCCGAUUUCCUCCAUCGGCCACAAUGCUCCUAUCCUGGCUUCCAUCGUGCAUCGGGGUGUGCGUCUCAGGAAAGUCACCACCAGGAGAACCCAGACAUCACCAACGGUAGCUGCUCCCACUCUGGCGCGGGCUUUCAAGGAAAUUUGUCAAAUCUUUUCCUUUAUGCUGACUAUCUUUAUAUCGGCUAUAUUUAUGCUUAUAAACUCUUGUUCGUUAUUGCAGCAAACCGGCGCAUCGGCGAAAGCCAGGCGUGAAAGUGCCGAUGCCCCCCAGUCUAGCCAACCAAAGAGAAAAGGCACCACAGGUGCUAAGACUGGAACAAAGCGCCAGAAGGUAGCAACUCCCCCUCCUCCUCCGGUGUCUCCAAUUCCGGUGGAGUCUUCUCCUUCUUCUCCAGAAGCCCAGCCACAGCAAGCACCGUCUCCCCAACCUAUGCAGGAAGCACCACAGAUAGAAGAACCCCAGCAGGAAGGAUCCCAAACAGAAGGUACAUCAGCUGAUGUGGGUGGACAAACAACUGGCCCGGAGGGUCCAAUUACACCAUCGGCGGUUCUCCCGAUUCAGACAACCGUUGUUCCACCUCCAGGUAACAUACUUUAACAAUACCGCUACCGAUGAACUUAUUCCCAUUUAGUCUCAUAACUCCUCUUAUCUUCUUUCAGCUGAUAUCGUUCCAUCGGCAACCUCAGCCGAUCAACCUGUAGUUCCAUCGGCAUCUUUGGCCGAUCAGCCUGCAGCUCCGUCAGCACUUCUCAGUCAAAGACAAGAGAUCGCCUUGAAGCAAGUAAGUCACCGUUUACCGUUAGCAUUAUUUGCCGAUUCUCUGAAUAUGAGCUAACUUUGCUUUCCCUCCCAGGAACAAGAUUCUCCCGACAGCCUGUUCUCCUUCGCCAUCGAUCUCUCUGAAGAAGAAGGUGAAGAAGCAAGCUCUUCUCAGGCAGUCGGCAUUACAUCGGCAGAGAUCAGGGUCAGGCUGGAAGAAUUGUCAGCUCUCCUUCAUCAGGACACAGCACAAUUGGUUGAUGACUCCGAUCCUACCAAGACCCUGUUCAGAACUCUCAGAGGCCAAAUCCCAGCCGAUGUCGAAGAAAUCCUAUUCCAAGCCGCUCAUCUGGAGAGUCGCCAGCUACAGUACCAGAGAGCUUCUCGGCGUCUUGCCGAUAGAGCCGCUCAGACUCAACUCUCCGAUGAAAUGAGGAAGGAGAAGCUCUUGACCGAUGAGAAGCACAAGAACAUCGGUAUCCUGAGAUCUUCUGGAGACGCGCUGAAGAAGAAAAUAUCCGAUCUGUCGGCAAGAAGAGAAUCCCUGUUGGCGGAGCUCAAGGAAGUGGAGAACGCCCUAUCCCAAGCCCAACAGGAAGAGAGCCAAUUGUCAGAGACCAUCAGGCUUCUUGAGCACGAGCGAAACGCUCAUGGUCGCAAGGCACUUCAACUGAAGAAGAAGCUGAAGCCGAUAGAAGGUUCUGCCGAUGAUGACAUCAAGAAAAUAGAAGCAGCCAACCAAAUUCGGCUACGCGCUAUAUCGGCAAUCCAGGCGUUGCUUAAUACAUAGAGUUUCCAUUGGAUUUAUAUCCGUGCUUUCCUGCUUCCUCAGCUUUUAGUCUAGCCGAUAGGACUGUUAUCGGCACCUAAACUUUUGAAACACCAAGUCUUGUCCCCAAACAUUUGGAUCCAGUCGAUAGGAGUGUUAUCGGCACUUAAACUUCUAUGCAUCGACCCAUAUACUGGGGUAGUACUUCUUUAAAUAUUUGCCGUUUAAUGCUCUGGGAAAUUCAACUCCUUCGAGGGUUUCUAGAAUGUAGGCAUUACCAGGAGCCGAUCGACUUAUCCGAUAAGGACCCUCCCAAUUAGGAGACCACUUUCCAAACUUCGAACCUUUAGUCCCAAUUGGUAGAAUUAAUUUCCACACCAAAUCCCCAUCGGCAAACUCUUUAGCCUUCACUUUCUUAUCAUACCAUCUAGCAACUCUCUUCUUAUUUUCUUCUAUACUCAUUAAAGCUUUUAACCGAUGCCCUGCUAGAUCAUCCAAUUCAUCGGUCAUUAAAGUGGCAUAAUCAUCGGCAGUUAAUUGAUCUUGAAAAGAUAAUCGCCUAGAUCCAGCCUUAAUUUCCCAAGGCAACACCGCAUCAUGUCCAUACACCAAUUGAUAGGGUGACACCUUGGUUGAUCCAUGACAAGCCAUCCGAUAAGACCACAAUGCUUCAUUUAAUAAUGUAUGCCACCGCUUAGGAUUUUCUUCAAUCUUUCGUUUAAUAAGCUUGAUAAUUCCUUUGUUAGACGCUUCGGCCUGCCCAUUGGCUUGAGCAUAAUAAGGAGAAGAAUUCAACACUUUAAUCCCCAUACCGACUGCGAAUUCAUCGAACUCCCCCGAUGUGAACAUGGUGCCCUGAUCGGUAGUAAUCGUUUGGGGAAUCCCAAAUCGGUAAAUAAUAUGCUCCUUCACAAAAUCAAUCAUAUUGGCCGAUGUGACUUUCUUCAAAGGAAUAGCUUCAACCCACUUAGUGAAAUAAUCAGUGGCAACUAGAAUAAACUUAUGCCCUUUGCUAGAUGGUGGAUAAAUCUGGCCGAUCAGAUCGAUGGCCCAUCCCCGGAACGGCCAAGGCUUUAUUAUAGGAUUCAUAGCCGAUGCGGGUGCUCUCUGGAUAUUACCAAACUUUUGACAACCUUGACAUCCCUUGAAAUAUUCAAAACAAUCCUCAAGUAUGGUCGGCCAAAAAUAUCCAUUCCUUCGAAUCAUCCACUUCAUCUUAAAAGCUGACUGAUGCGCUCCACACACUCCUUCAUGGAUUUCCCCCAUCAAACUUCUAGCUUCAUCAUCACCCAAGCAUUGGAGAAGAAUUCCGUCGAUAGUUCGAUAAUACAAUUCAUCUUCAAGAAGCACAUACUUGCUUGCUUGAAAUCGAACCUGUCUUUCAACUUUUUUGGAUGGAUCUUUUAGAUAAUCAAUAAUUUCUUUCCUCCAAUCAUCGGCACCGAUUGCCGAUAUUGCAUUAAUCAUUGGCUGAUAUCCCGAAGCAUGUUGAGCUAACCGAUUGGCGUCUUCAUUAUGCAAUCGAGGAACAUGCUCUAAUCGGAAAUCCUUGAAUUCCUUUAACAGUUGCAUACUUCUCUCGAAAUAAGUUAUGAGAACUUCACUUCGGCAUUCAUAGCUCCCGGCCAAUUGAUUUAUAACCAACAUAGAAUCCCCGAAGAUCUCAACAGCAUCAGCACGAACUUCUCUUAACAACUCCAAUCCCUUGAUCAGAGCCUGAUACUCAGCCUGGUUAUUUGUUGAUGUGGCAACAAUCGGCAAGGAAAACUCAUACUUCCUCCCCUUAGGGGAAACUAAUACAAUGUCGAUUCCUGCCCCCCGGUCACAGGUAGAUCCAUCAAAGAAGAGUGUCCAGGGUACAAUUUCCAAGGUUUCCACCAUACCGCAAUGCUGAGUCACAAAAUCGGCCAUAAUCUGCCCUUUGACUGCCUUGGCCGAUUCGUAACGCAAAUCGAACUCCGACAGCGCUAAAAUCCAUUUACCGAUCCUACCACUCAUAAUCGGCAUAGAUAGCAUGUACCGGACCACGUCAUCUUUGCAAACAACAGUGCAUUCGGCCGAUAACAGGUAAUGUCUCAGCUUGAUACAUGAAAAAUAUAAGCAUAGGCAUAGUUUCUCAAUGGCCGAAUACCUGGUUUCAGCAUCAAUCAACCUCCUACUCAAGUAGUAAAUUACCCUUUCUUUCCCUUCAAAUUCUUGAACUAAAGCUGAACCGAUAACCGAUCCAUCGGCAGACAAAUACAAUCUGAAGGGCUUUCCUUGUUGAGGUGGAACCAGAACUGGAGGAUUUACUAGAUAUUUCUUUAUUUCACCCAGAGCCAACUGCUGUUCUUUUCCCCAAAUAAAUUCUUGAUCGGCUUUCAAUUUAAGAAGAGGACUGAAAGCACGAAUCUGACCAGACAGAUUAGAUAUAAAUCUCCUGAUAAAGUUUACCUUGCCGAUCAAGGACUGGAGUUCGGUCUUGUUGGUAGGGGCCACUAUUUUAUUGAUGGCAUCAAUGGAUCUUCGACUAAUUUCAAUACCCCUUUGAUGUACCAUGAAACCAAGAAACUGCCCUGCCGAUACACCAAAUGCACACUUGUUGGGAUUCAUCUUCAAUCCAUGCUUCCUUGUGCACUCUAACACUUUCUGUAAAUCGGCAAGAUGCUUUGAGAAAUCUCCAGACUUGACCACCACAUCGUCAAUAUAAAUCUCCACGAGCUUGCCGAUGAACUCAUGAAAUAUAAAAUUCAUAGCCCUUUGAUAAGUAGCACCAGCAUUCUUCAACCCAAAGGUCAUGACUAUCCAUUCAAAUAACCCAACAUGACCAGGACACCUGAAUGCGGUUUUUGGAAUAUCCUCCUCUGCCAUGAAUAUUUAAUUGUAUCCUGCAUUACCAUCCAUAAAGCUGAUGACCCGAUGACCAGCUGCAGCAUCAACCAGCAGAUCGGCGACAGGCAUUGGGUAUCCAUCCAUCGGCGUAGCUUUGUUGAGAUUCCUGAAAUCAAUGCACACUCGAAGCUUCCCGUUCUUCUUGUAAACCGGAACAACAUUGGAAAUCCACUCGGCAUACCAACACUGCCGAAUAAACUUAGCUUCAAUAAGUUUGGUGAUUUCGGCCUUAAUAUCAGGUAGAAUGUUAGGAUUACACCGGCGAGCUGGUUGCUGAUGUGGCCGAAAUCCAGACUUGAUGGGUAACCGAUGCUCAACAAUUGACCGGUCUAAACCAGGCAUCCCAGUAUAAUCCCAAGCAAAGCAAUCUUUAUAUUCCUUUAACAAACUAGUCAAUUGUUGCUUACACUCAGGAUCUAAUUUGGCACUAAUAAAAGUAGGCCUAGGCUUAUCACCACUACCUAUAUCUACUUCUACCAAAUCAUCGGCCGAUGUGAAUCCCUGGCCUAAUUUUCCAUCAUCGGCGAAUCUAUCCAUUAAAAACCGUCGUCAGAACCAACUGCUUGGAUCGGUGGAAUCUCGUAAUCGGCAACUUUGAGAAAAUCUUUCUCCCAAACUUCCCCUGAAAUGCACCUGGUCCUUUCGUAAGUAUCCGCCUCUGCCGAUGCGAUAACAUAAGAAGAAUCUCCUGGGACAAUCUCAAUCUUGUCACCUACCCACUGAACCAAGCAUUGGUGCAUUGUAGAUGGGAUACAACAAUUGGCAUGAAUCCAAUCUCUUCCCAACAAUAAGUUGUAAGCACCUUUUCCACUGAUCACGAAGAAAGUUGUUGGCAAGGUUUUGCUGCCGAUGGUGAACUCCACACAUAUUGCCCCCUUGACUGGAGACACGUUUCCUUCAAAGUCUUUGAGCAUCAUAUCGGUCUUGGUCAAAUCAUGAUCCCCUUUCCCAAGCUUCCGAUAUACUGCAUACGGCAUAAUAUUAAUAGCAGCUCCACCAUCAACUAGGAUCUUGGUCAUUGGCUGCCCAUCAACCCUUCCUUUGACAAACAGAGCUUUGAGAUGCUGUCUCUCGUCAUCGGCAGGUUUCUCAAAGUCAGCCGUCAUCGGAUCCAGAGCCAGCUGAGCUAUCUGAUCAGAGAAUUCCAACUCAUCAUCACCGGAUGGUGCAAGAAACUCCAUCGGCAACAUAAAGACCAUAUUGACUCCUGCCGAUGAUCCUUCCCUCUUAGUGUCUGAUGGCUGCUGACUUCCAGAGUUCUCGCCCUUGCUUAGCUCCUCUUGCCUUUCACGUUGCAAUCUCCUUUUCUGUGUCUUGGUUAAUCCUUCAGGACACCAUGGAGGAAGCGGCUUUUGCCUUGCUGCCGGGCGUCGGUUCUCCCUUGACUCCAUACGAUGCGUGUUAGCAUCUCUGCAAAAUAUGAACUCAUCGGGAACCCGCGCAUUAGCCAUCUCUUCGAGCUCUUCCUGGUUCCUGGGAAAAUACUGGACACGUUCACCAAGCCUAUCGUGCACGCUAAGCCUGCCCCCCAGCCGAUCACGAACUGACGCCCUUCCUCUGAUUGGCCCAUCAAAUCGUCGAUCAUCAUCAUGAUAACGCCGAUCGGUCCUAUCGUACCGAUCAUAACCGUUGCACUCAGGGCAGUCUCUGACAGUAGGUAGCUUGAUAUAUUCCUCCCAACAAUGGAUGAAGAACGGACAAUUCCAAUGAUCUCUGUGCCGAUUCCACUCCUGUCGGCGUCUUUCUUCUUCCCGUCGAUAAUCUUCUUGCUGGCGCCGAUACCGAUCCUCUCGUUGUUGCCAAUUUUCUCGAGGCCUUCUAUGAGUUAUAACGAUACCGGACCGAGGAGGCCUUCCUGAGCUAGUUCCUUCCUGAACCAAGCCUUUACUUCUUGCAUCGGCAGUAGUAACUUGAUGCUGAGGAUCUACCGAUGCACUCUUCUCAGCUGUUUCUGAUGUUAAGACCUUAGCCUUCCCCUUAGCAUCCAACAUGUUUGUCGGGAAAGGAUGUUGGUCUAUCUUCAUCGGCUUCUGGGCCUUGGAACUGUCAAACUUGAUUCUCCCAGACUCUAUAGCCGAUUGCAGCUGCUGUCUGAAUACUUUGCACUCGUUGGUAUCAUGGGAAGUUGCAUUAUGCCACUUGCAAUAUCUCAUCCUCUUUAACUCUUCUGCCGAUGGGAUCACAUGAUUAGGUGACAGUUUGAUCUGACCUUCCUGAAGUAGAAAGUCAAAUAUCCUAUCGGCCUUAGCGGUGUCAAAAGCAAACUUCUCUGGUUCCUUAUGCCCAAAAGGACAAGACAUCGGCUUCUUGUUUUUUACCCACUCUGCCAAGCCGAUUACUGGCUCUUCAUCAGAAUCUGAGCUUGUUGCUUCAUCGACAAAUGACACUUUCUUAAUCCAUGCUCUUUUGGGCUCGAAAGGCUUGAUGUCUUGAUCAGAAAUCCUCUGCACCAAAUGACUCAAACUUUCGAACUCCUGAGAGGCAUACUUAUCCCUGAUAUGUGGCAACAAACCCUGGAAAGCCAAAUCGGCUAGCUGCCGAUCAUCCAGAACCAAGCUAUAGCAUUUAUUCUUGACCUCUCGUAUCCUCUGCACAAAACCCUCAACUGACUCAUCAUUACGUUGCCUCAACUUGACCAAGUCGGUGAUCUUCUUCUCAUGAACCCCCGAAAAGAAGUAUUUGUGGAAUUGUUUCUCCAGAUCGGCCCAAGUAAUUACUGAAUUAGGAGGUAAUGAUAUGAACCAAGUAAAGGCCGAUCCAGACAAUGGUGACGAAAAUAGACAAACCCUCAAUUCGUCCUUGUUACCAGCCUCUCCACAUUGAAUGAUGAACCUGUUGACAUGCUCCAUGGUUGACGUAUCGUCCUGCCCGGAAAACUUGGUAAAAUCCGGUACCUUGUACCGAUGUGGAAGCGGGAUCAAAUCAUACGCGGGAGGAUACGGUGUCCGAUAAGAGUAAGUGUUGACUUUGGGUUUUAUCCCAAAUUGUUCCCUCAUUACUUCAGCAAUCUUAUCGGCCCAAUAUGCAUCGGCAUCCUGCCGAUGGUGUGGCUGUGGAUCUGGCACUUGGUGACGAACCUCCACGUGUCUAUUCGGGACGUGAUCUGCACGGAACAUUGGAUUGAUCACCUGCCCUCCAAUCUGCGGACCACCAAACUGCUGUCCACCGAUUUGCUGUCCCCCGAGUUGCUGUCCCCCGAGUUGCUGUCCGAAAUUCAUUGGCUGGUUGGGAAUCCCCUGACCUUGGAACCCGGGAUAGACCUGUCCUUGCUGGAACCCUGUAGUCUGAUAACUCUGCUGGGGCGAUUGCGGAAAGACUUGUUGUCCAAGCCAUCCAUUAUUAGCGUUCAUCGGCAUAGGCGCUGCCGAUGACUGGUAAUUGGGUAUCAUCAUUGAAUUGACAUACCCCGACUGUGCCAUAGACCUCUGUUGCAUCAGCAUUGAUUCUGCCGAUGCAUUAGGCAUCUGGAACGUUGAAUCUUGAGGAUUUCCAGUGUGAGGCCUUGCAGUAGUGGUUGUGGUAUACCGGGGACUCUGGUUCAAUGGCACAUUGGGAGGCGCCGAUGUCAUAGGAGUCUUGCCCCUCAUGUCGGUUAUCUGCGAUGUACCUGGCGUCAAUUCUGGAGGCAUACCAUAACCCCACCAGUUGGGAGGAAGAGUCAACCCUGACAUUGCCGAUGCCAACAUAUCUGUAGUCAGCUUAUUCUGCCCACCUGAAGUCUGCGGGUUAGUUGUCAUCGGCACAGAUAGAGCACCAGAAGCUCCCGAUGUACUUGGAGGGACGGCAGAUUGUGCACUUGCAGCCGUCAAAGCAGCCGAUGGAGCCGUGACUUCUGGUGCCGUGGGCUGGUGAUGAGAGGGGCCCACAUAAUCUGGUGGGAUUUGUCCUUCCUUGAAAGUUCUUGCCACGGCAUUGAAAACCGUAUUAGACAGUACACCAGCUUGGUUGAUCAAAGCUCAGUUGAUAGCAUUGUCAACCAUAUCUUGAAGCUUGCCAGGAUUGGCGUCGAAGGUAACCUGCCGUGGUGCCGGCAGUGCAUCUUUCUGGACCACUUCGCCGCUCCUGUUUAUGCUGAAAAACCUCAGGCAUUGCUGCUUGAACUCUUCCAUGGCUUGGGCAAUAGCUUGCUUCUGCUCAUCCUUGAGAUUGGCCUCCGUCACGGGGAUGACGUUCUCCUGAUCGAGGUCAGAGAUCGACAUGUUGAUCUUGAUCUUGAAUCCUGUCCCACCGAGCGUGCCAAAAGAUGUGUUGAUGCAAAACUGAUCUGCAAACACAAAGGGCUAAUACCCGAUUCAAACGUUAAGGCGUGCCAGCCGAUUUAACCUUACUAUCGGCAAAGGUGAUAACUCGAAUACUUUAGUCCUGACAACAGCGAUGCGCCCGGAUGUCACGGCUAAGAGGUACUCACACGGAACUUGAGAACACGUCGAGCUUAAGUCGACGAAUUCCUAAGAACUCGUAGUAAAAAGGAAAAAGUAUGACGAAGUCGUCGAAAAAGUAGAUGCUGGAAUAUGAGUAAAAACGUGUGUUUGAUUGAUUGAUAGAUAGCUCAUUACAAGGCCCUAGGGUCUAUAUUUAUACUCUGCUCAAAGAGCUACAACCAGACACGAUUAGAAUUCGAAUUCCAAACUACACGGAAUCCGUAUACAAAACGAUGUAAAUAAUUAAGGAAAUAACAAAACUAUCCCCCGUAACAAACUGAAACUCCUCCAUACAACGACCGGCAGCUUCCGGACUCCCUCUUUGCAUCAUCGGCAGAUCUUUUGCCAUAGUUAUCGGCAGACUUUCUUAUCCAGUCAUCGGCACAAUCAUAUCACUGCCUGUAGACUUAGUCACGUUCAACUUCUCCUUCAUCGGCAACCAUCCUCAUCGGCAACUCACCCUGUAAACAUCGUACUGCCAUCUUAUCCUGCCAUCCUAGACACGUGCACAAAAACGGUGUCAACAGUUAGAUUGACAAUAAAUAUACUCUUCCAUUCAUUUGGCUUCUUCCCAGCCAGAUUUGUUGUGGCCGGCUGUUGUGUGGCCUCCUCCCGCUCACAAAUGACAUUGCGUCACAUAGUACCUUGCGUGCCGUUUUGCCAUUACUGGCAGUGGGCCAUUUUGCCAUUGCUCCACAUGGUACCUUGCGGGCUAUUUUGUAAUUAUUGGGAGGCGGCAACACGGUUGGGAGGCGGCGACACGGCUUGGAGGUGGCGGCGCGGUUGAGAGGCGGUGGCGAGGCGAGUUGGGAGGCGACGGUGUUGGUAACCGGGAGGGGUCGUGGCUGGGACGCAUCGCGAGUGGGGAUCGCGUGCGACACAGCCGAUCGCUUUCUCUAUGGGCCCAACCUCAAAUAGCCCCAAAUAGCGCAAAUAAGCACCUCUUUGGGGGGAUAGUUUUUUGGGUGGGUUAGAUGCAAAUAACCCCAAUCUAACCCUCAUGUUUGGAUACUUUACGGCAAUUUGAGCCUCAAAUAACUAAAUCUAACUCUAACCCAUGGAUCCAAACAGGACCAAUGACAAAAUAGAGAAACAAAAGAACAUAGGAAUUUCACUGGGUAAGACUGUCUUCAACAAGGAGACCCAAAUACAAAUAUAUGUCCUACAUAGUGUUUUGCAUACUGAAAUCAUGCUCCAACAAAGGACCCAAUUUAGAGACCCAUUUUAGGUACGACGCGAGAAGAAACACAAAUAUGCGUCUGUCGGCGUCUAGACUCGAGGUCUAGGCACUAACAAGUAUAAAUCUGCGUGACUUACCAAGCUUGGAUGGUGAUGCAAGUGAGACACAGAGGGUUUAUACUGGUUCGGGCUAAGAAUGCCCUACGUCCAGUGUAGUGGUGGAUUCUGUAUAACCUUGCACCCAAAGGUGCUUGCAGUAGGGGGUACAAGCUGGUUGCGAGAGAGGGCUAAGUCCCAGGUCUCGGCUUGGUGUGGACAGAGUGCGGGCUGCUGCUCUGUGAAAGAGUGUUGUGUGCGUGUUCUGGGCCUGUCUCUCCAGUUAUGAACCCUGGCUCCCCUUUUAUAGUCUCAAGGGAAGGCCAGGUAUUUACAUGAGUAGAUUUCUUUUAUUGAGGGGUGAAAACACAGGCCCGACCCUGUUGAGGCUGGUCCAUCUCGUCCUUGUGGGAUGGUUGACGGCAUGGCUGUUCCUGUAGAGGGUUACCGAACCCUGUAGGGGUCGCGGGGGUCGGAUCGCCGGCACUGCUGCAUAUCCUGUCAACAGUGGAAAUGACCACAAAUAGUGGUGCUGAUUUACGUUACCCAUUCCCUUUCUACUGUGCGGUGAUGUGCUACAGUGAACAGGGGUAAGGAUGUAUAGUGACAGAGGUAAGGCUGCAGUGACUGGGGUGGUUGAAACAGUUGUCGCCUUGCCCUGCUGCGUUAUGGGGGCCGUCGCAUCCGUCAUGUUGGGGGAAGUCUAGUUGCCCAGGUGGAGUGGGGUCCGGCGUCCGAGCCUGGACGGGGUCGGGCGAGUCGGAACUGGCGUCCGAGGCCCUGAGGGGUCGGGCGAGUCGGAACUUGCGUCCGAGGCCCUGAGGGGUCGGGCGAGUCGGAACUUGCGUCCGAGGCCCUGAGGGGUCGGGCGAGUCGGAACUUGCGUCCGAGGCCCUGAGGGGUCGGGCGAGUCGGAACUGGCGUUUUUUGUUGCUCUGAUUUGGGUAUCCCUUAUUAUGGUACCCAACAGUAGCCCCCGAGCCUCUGAAGAGGUGAGGUCACCUCUUUAGGGGUUCUUUCCCCGUGGACCGUAGUCGACUCGGAGCCUUUUACUGUUGCCGGGGGGGUGCGCGCGAGCGCACCCGCCGGGUGUAGCCCCCGAGCCUUUUGGAGGAAUGGUGUUAUUCCUUCAAAGGCUUUUACCCCUUGAGAUCUUUAGUCUGGAGUGUUUUAUGGGAUAGUUUGCGUGUUCUUUACACGUAGUGUCUGUUCCCAUGGUGCGAGGAAGCCCCCGAGCCCUUUCCCCGGGAGGGUCGAUCAGGUUCUUUCUCGUCUUGUAAUUCCGUCCCUCAUUCUUCCUUUUGCUCGGAGGAGGGGUGGGUCGUGCCGUCCUACCCUUGGUGGGCGAGUGACGACACUUCCCGGGAGCUGCAGGCGGGUAGAUCCGAGUGGAUGUCUGAGUCCCGUUCGAUAGGGGUCGGCUAGUGGCCUUAUGGGCACAUCUCAAAAGGUACCCGAGGGCAGUCACGGUGGAUGUCGGAACCGUUCGUUAGGGCCCGAGGGCUCGAUGCCUCCCUCGAUGGGAUCCCACUCUCCUGACACCCGCAUGGGUCUCGGAUAUGACUUGCAAAGAUGCGCCGACUCCCUGUAGGGUUCGGACCUUGGCCUCUAUCGUGCUCAUCUCCAGUCAUCCCUCACUCAGUUAUCCUGAGGCGACUGUUCGAACCUGUGUCGCAGGUCAGUCUCGAAACCUCUGGAACGUAGGUGGCCAUGGCCUGGGGAUUUUGGGCCUUAAAAGGUUUUCUUUAGACCCGUUCUUUCGUGUUGGGGUCGGGCGAGACGGAGUCUGACGCCCGACGGAGACCUCCAUGCGAUGCUUAGCCAGCGGGGGGUCGGGCGCCGCGUCUCUUGGAAGGAACCGCCCUGUCAUAACUUUUCAGGGCGCUCCUUUUGAGGCGUGGCGCGUGGGGACUCGAAACGGCUGUGCCGUCUCGCCCCGGUUUGGACGGGACGUUUCGCCUGCGAAUUUAAUGCGUGCGUGCGGCGGGCGCGGGAAUCGGAGGGAGUUGGCGCUUCGAGUUUUUCACCUGAGCGGGCGACGGUUGCGCUCUUUCUCUCUCUCUUGGCCUUCCUCGCAGGGGCGUGGUCGUGGCUCGCUCCCUUCUAUAAAAGCGGCCGCUGGGGUUUUGGUUUCUUUCCUCUCGCUCUUGCGCCACAAAACCUUUGCCUCCUGCCCCUUCUUCUGCCGCCGUCUCUUCCACCUCCAUCGCACAGGCCUCCUUCUUCCUCCUAGAGCCAUGGCCGGCGUCGAGGCGUGGCCGCCUAGCAACGUGACCAAGUCCGCGCUGGAGGCGCGCGUGAGGGCCGGGAUUCUUCGUCCUCUCAAGGACGUCGGGUUCCCGGAAUGGAUCGUUCCCUCGGCGAACGACAGGGAGCCAAACCCGCCUCCGGGCUAUGUGGUGUGCUUCCUGUCGUUCCUAGACCGGGGGUUCGGGGUUCCGGCCGGCCGCCUGAUCAGGGCCAUCCUCCACUACUACGAGGUGGAGUUGCACAACCUGAACCCAAACUCGGUGAUGCAGGCCGCCGUCUUCACCACGAUUUGCGAGGGGUUCCUGGGGGUUCCUGUCAAUUGGAACCUCUGGCUUCACCUCUUCAAGGCGGACAUGUCGGCCCGCUAUGUGGGGAAGGAGAAGAUCCCCCUGCGGGCCGGCGGUUGCACGCUGCAGCUUCGCCAGCAACGGUCCGGACUGUACAUUUGGACCACGAUGCCAUCGUCAAACCGGGGGUGGCAGAGCACGUGGUUCUACCUCCGGAAUGACGGUGGUCUUCUGCCGAAGUACUCUGGAAAGAUGGUGACAGAGGCCCCCCAGAAGUGGGCGUGGGGCGCUCCGGCCAAGGAGCAGAAAAGGCUCGCCCCGCUUCUUGCGGGGCUUCAGAAGCUGCGAGAGGCCCGAGUUACUGCGGCCACGGUGGCAACGGCGUUCCACAAGAGGAGCCUGCUUCCGCUAGCGCAGCGCCGGGUGCCAAUGUUCGAAAUGACAUGGGACGUCCCUUGGGCAGGGACGAGGAUGUUAGCCGAGCCGAUAUCGGCUUCGGACAUCGCCGCCCGGGUCAAGAAGACCACACACCCGGAGAUGAAGAACUCCCGGGUGGUGCCGAUGCGCCCUGAAAAGGGCUACAUUUCCUUGGUAAGAAGGUGUCCUUUCAUUUCGAUCACCUGCUCCCGUUUUUUCUUUCACCUGAUUUCCUUGUUGAUCUGCUUGCUCCACAGGGGAUCGGGGCCGUCAAGGACUCCCUGCCCCCCCGUCCCGGAGGACAAAGAGAUCCGGGCCAAGAAUCGGGCCCGGAACGAGGAGCAAAAGAAGAUCAAGGAAGGGAAGAAGGCUAAGGCGGCGCGAAGGGCGGAGAGACGGGAGGUCGCCUCCAAGAACCGCCAUGAAGCCGAGAAGGCAGGGGUCGCCCCGCCUCCGUCUCCUGAGACUUCAGUCUCGGAGAUCGAGGGCGGGGGCGGCGACGUCGACUGGCUCGACGAGCUGAUGGAGGAGGACGACACAGUCCCUCCUACCGGAGGGAUCGAGACCCCGGAGGGGUCCAAGGCCCGAGGUGGGUCGGGGACCCCCGAGGGGACCCAGACACCGGGGGGCGGGCAGCCCGUCCCCCACAUCGUUGUGGACGACGAGGACGGCGCCCCUCGUGAAGAUUCGGCCCCCGUGGGCCUCCAAGAGGGGGAGAAGGCGUCGGAGGCCGAGCCCGAGGAGACCCCUCAGUUGGUAGCGCCGGAGGGUCCGACCGAGCCCAUCCCAAUGUCUAGGACGGGAGCUGGAGCCUCCGUGGAGGUGUUGCAGGCUGAGGCCCUCAUGGCGCCCCCUGCGCCGUCGGCGAGCGAGGCAGGGGUCCGGCCAUCGGCCUCAGGCGCCGCGGGAGACCCCCAAGGAGCCCAGGGCUCGUAUAAGAAAUCUGCUCCCCGGGCGAGGUAAAGAUAGCAUUCCUGAUCCUUUUGCCGAUUUUUUGUUUUUCUCUUUCUUCUAACUUGAUGUCGUUCUCCCAGCCGUAAGCAGAAGGCGCCCUCAGUGGCGCUGGCCCCCCUGAAGGCCGUAAAGAGGGGGGCUCAGUCGACUCCCGGGUCAGCUAGGCCCGUGUCUCCGCCGCCUCCAGGCUACGAGGAGGCAGGGCACCACCCGGGGCAAGACACGGGGGCGCCGAAACCCCAAGGAUAGGAGGACGCUGACCUCGGAGGCGCAGCCCGUCCUACGUGCGCUGAGGAGGGGCGAGCCAUCGUGGUGUCCAGCGCGGCGCCUGAGGCCCCCGCGGCGGGAAGGGAGGAGGAAGCCGGGUGGGGCAAGAGCCCCGUGAUCUGGCCCAACCUCGGCGAUGCCGAGGGAGGAGCCAGAUUUGUCCUGGAUGACCCGUCAGAGAAUUACCUCUAGCAGGGUCUGGACGCGUGUGGGCGUGCCGGUGUCGAGGCCCUCAACCGAGCUACCCAGCUCGUGGGUCGUGACAUGUUUAAUUUGGCUCAGGUGAGAUUUUUAUCCGUGUUAUGGAGUAGUUUUGUGCUUACCUUUGUGUUACUAACCCCCUGUGGGACCUCUGAUCUUGCAGGCGCUCAAGGCCACCUCCCAGGAGAAAUCGGUGUUUCUCCGUCGGGAGAAGGAUGCUUGGGUGUCCUUUGAGAAGGAGAGGGCUGCCAGGGAGGCGGCCGAGGGGGAGCUCGCGAAGGAGUGCGAGAUUUCCGCCGAUCUUCGGCAGAAGUGCUCAGCACUGGCUACUGAGGCUCGGGAGGCCCGAGACAGGGUCGCCCCCCUGGAGGAGAGGGUCGGGGCCCUCACGCAAGAGUCCGGGGCGCAGAAGGCGGCGGCUGAGGGGUACAAGGGUGAGGUCGCUCGGCUUGAAGCUUUGCUCGCCGAAAAAGACCUCGCCUUGAACCAAGCUCAGACCGACCUGGCCGGGGCUCUGAGCCAGGUGUCCCGCUGGCAUCAGAGCUCGGCCGAGUACGAGAAGCGCGCCAAGGGUAGGACUUGCGCCCUUUUCCUUAGACGCCUUUGUACUUUUGAGUUGGCUUUUCCUGACUUCUCGUUUCUUGCUCUGUUUUUUGAUCAGAAUUGGAGGUGAAGGUGGUCGAGGCGACCUCUACUGCCGAGGCCCUGAAAAAGUCCCUCGACGCUGAGGCUUCGGACCGCUCGGCUCUUGAAGCCGUGGUCACCUCGGCGUGUGAGGGGCUCGGGGUAUCGGUGUCGGGGUCGUCGCUGCGCAGUCGGGUCGAGGCCCUUUACUCCCGGGCUGGGGAGAGGAUGAGGGAGGCGCUCCACACCGGGGUGAAGAAGGCCCUGGUGGUGGUGAGCUCUCACUAUGCCGGCAUUGAUUUGCCGGCGGUUUGUGAGGGCUACGUCCUCUCUGAUGACGAAACAGAAGCCCAGGAGGAGGUGCAGAGGCUUGAUGAUGCCGCGGCUGUCCCUGGAGACGCCUUGGCCGCCUUUUUUGACGAUGAGGCGGAGCUUCCCCCCCUCGGGGCUCAAGGACCUGAGUAGAUAGGUCAAUAGGAUUCUUAGUUUUUCUUUUCUUUUUGUGGGUGUUGAGGCCGGUGGGCCUUGUAACAUAUAUAUAUAACGUUAAUGUCGAAUGUAAAUAUAACUGCUCUUUUUGAGUAUUUUCCCUAAGUAUCUUGUUUCCUUUCUCUUUAUACCGAUCCGACCUCGGCAGCGCGGGGUCGGGUGAGCUACUUAAAGUUAUCGCGCAGGUCGGAGUUCCUAGGCCUAAGUGCUUUUCCUUUUUCCUUAGUGAUUCUUGGAAGUCCGAAUUCGUUCCCGAAUCUAAGGUGAGUUGAGGUGGUCUUUGCCCGUGAGCGCAGAUCCUUCCUCGAGCUCAUGCCUUAAGAUUUAGGGGUCGGAUUCUCGGUUUCUUGAAUCUUUUUAGGAAGGAGGAGGAAGACCUUGGGUCUGGGUUCUUUUAACUUGUGUGAAAGAAGAAAAAGAUUCGGAGUCGACAUAGGGGGUUCCCCCCAUGUAGCCCCCGAGGGAGGUUCGGACUCUGCUCGGCAGGUCCGAGACUCUCUGAUAACUUAAACUUUGAUUUAUUCCUUGGAGGCGAUGGACGAACAAAGAAAUUUUUACAAAGCUCUAAGGGAAAAAACGACGUAGCUGUUCUAUGUUCCAUGCGUUUUUGAAGACCUCCCCUGCUUCAUUGGCGAGCUUGUAGGUGCCUGCUCGGAGAACCUCGGCGAUGACGAAAGGUCCUUCCCAGGGGGGUGUGAGCUUGUGACGACCCUUGUUGCUCUGUCUGAGCCUCAGCACCAAGUCGCCGACUUGAAAGGCUCGGCCUCGGAUUCGUCGUGCGUGGUAUCGGCGGAGGGCCUGCUGGUAUUUGGCAAAGUGUAAGAGGGCUACGUCCCUGGCUUCAUCCAGCUGGUCCAGCGCGUCUUCUUGGAACGUCUUGCCGCUAUUUUCGUCGUAGGCUUGUACCCUUGGGGACCCGUACUCCAAGUCAGUGGGGAGGACAGCUUCCGACCCGUAGAUCAUGAAGAACGGGGUGAAGCCUGUGGCUCGGCUUCGGGAGGUUCUCAGGCUCCAGAGCACGGCUGGUAGUUCCUUGAGCCACCUUUUCCCAAACUUGUUCAGUCGGUUGAAAAUCCUGGGCUUCAAACCCUGGAGGAUCAUGCCGUUGGCACGUUCCACUUGACCAUUGGUCUUGGGGUGAGCCACCGCCGCCCAGUCCACACGUAUGUGGUGUCUGUCGCAGAACUGCAAGAACUUUCGCCCGGUGAACUGUGUGCCGUUGUCGGUGAUUAUGGAGUUCGGUACUCCAAAUCGAUGGAUGAUGUCUGUGAAGAAUAAAACGGCUUGCUAGGCCUUGAUCCUUGUAAUAGGUCGGACUUCGAUCCACUUAGAGAACUUGUCGAUUGCGACAAGCAAGUGGGUGAAGCCCCCAGGCGCUUUCUGCAGAGGCCCGACCAGGUCAAGGCCCCAGACAGCGAAAGGCCAAGUUAUGGGGAUCGUUUGCAGGGCCUGAGCAGGGAGAUGCGUCUGCCGAGCGUAGAACUAGCAUCCCUUGUAGGACCUGACGAUCUCUGUGGCGUCGGCUACAGCGGUGGGCCAGUAGAAACCUUGUCGGAAGGCAUUUCCUACCAGCGUCCGAGGCGCGGCGUGAUGGCCACAAGCCCCCGAGUGUAUGUCCUGUAGGAGCUUGACUCCUUCCUGACGUGGGAUGCAACGCAUAAGGAUGCCCGAGGGGCUGCGUUUGUACAUUUCCCCGUCGAGGAGGACGAAGGUCUUGGCACAACGAGCCACGCGUCUCGCUUCAGCCUGGUCCAGGGGCUGAGUGCCAUCGACCAGGCGUUGAAGCAAAGGGUAGCGCCAGUCAGGCGAGUCGUCAGUCGCAGGUGGCUCUGGCUCGAUGUCCAUGGCCUCCUGUUCUUGGGCGACAGCGUCUUUGGGGUCGGCACUCUGUUUGUUUUGGGGCUCAUCCGACCCCCCGUCGUCCUUGUAGUCGACGGAAGGUUUGUAGAUGUCGCUGACGAAAACAUCCUGGGGGACGGUGGCCCGCUCGGAUGCCAUCUUGGCGAGCGCGUCGGCGGCUUCAUUAUACUUUCUUAACACGUGGUUAAGUUCGAGGCCGUCGAAUUUCUCUUCCAGGCGUCGAACCGCCUUGCAGUAUGCGUCCAUCUUGGGGUCAUGGCAGCUAGAUUCUUUCAUGACUUGAUCGAUGACGAGUCUGGAAUCGCCUCGGAUGUCGAGCCGCUUGAUCCCAAGUUCGAUCGCGAUGUGAAGACCGUUCACAAGGGCCUCAUACUCUGCUGUAUUGUUUGAAGCAGGGAAGUGGAGCCGGAUCGCGUAUCGCAUCCUUACCCCGAGGGGUGAGAUGAAGACAAGGCCUGCGCCGGCCCCAGUUUUCAUCAGAGACCCGUCGAAGUACAUGGUCCAGCAUUCGUGCUGGAUUUGUGGGGGUGGGAGCUGAGUCCCCGUCCAUUCUGCCACAAAGUCUGCCAGGACCUGGGACUUUAUGGCCUUGCGAGGCUCAUAGGCGAUCCCAUCGCCCAUGAGCUCUAUGGCCCAUUUGGCAAUCCUCCCGUUGGCCUCUCGGUUCUGAAUCACUUCUCCCAGAGGGAAAGAUGAGACCACUGAGACUGGGUGAGAUUCGAAGUAAUGUCGGAGCUUGCGCCGGGCCAACACCACAGCGUAGAGUAAUUUUUGAAUCUGGGGGUAUCGGGUCUUUGUGUCGGAGAGUACUUCACUGACGAAGUAUACCGGCCUUUGGACCGGCAGGGCGUGUCCUUCUUCCUUCCUUUCGACCACGAUAGCUGCGCUGGCCACCUGAUCAGUGGCUGUGACGUAAAGAAGAAGUGGUUCCCCCUCGGCGGGGGGCACCAGGAUGGGAGGGUUGGUGAGCAGAGACUUGAGCUUGUCGAGGGCUUCCUGGGCCUCGAGGGUCCAGGAAAAUUGCUCAGAUUUCCUUAGUAACCUAUACAGAGGCAGCCCUUUUUCUCCGAGGCGAGAAAUGAAACGGCUUAGGGAGGCGAGACAUCCCAUUACCCUCUGUACUCCCUUUAGGUUACGGAUGGGACCCAUAUUCGCGACGGCCGAGACCUUUUCUGGAUUGGCCUCGAUCCCUCGCUCAGACACGAUAAACCCAAGGAGCAUGCCUCGGGGGACCCCGAAAACACACUUUUUGGGGUUGAGUCUGAUCCCUUUUGCCCUGAGGCAUCAGAACGUUUCUUCCAGGUCGACAACCAGGCCGCUCGCUUUCCUGGACUUGACGACGAUGUCGUCUACGUAUGCCUCUACCAUUUUGCCUAUAAGGUUCCCAAAAACCUGGAGCAUACAUCGUUGAUAUGUAGCCCCCGCGUUCUUGAGGCCAAAAGGCAUGGUCACGUAGCAAUACAUUCCGAAAGGGGUGAUGAAUGAAGUCGCGAGCUGGUCGGACUCUUUCAUCUUGAUUUGGUGGUAGCCGGAGUAAGCAUCAAGGAAAGAUAAAAUUUCACAUCCCGCGGUGGAGUCAACUAUCUGAUCAAUACGGGGCAAUGGAAAGGGAUUCUUUGGACAUGCUUUAUUUAAACUAGUGUAGUCUACACACAUCCUCCACUUCCCAUUUUUCUUUUUAACUAGCACGGGGUUGGCUAACCACUCGGGAUGGAAUACUUCCUUGAUGAAUCCGGCCGCCAGCAGCUUGUGGAUCUCCUCCCCGAUGGCCCGGCGCUUCUCCUCAUCGAAUCGGCGUAGGCGUUGCUUCACGGGUUUGGAACCGGCUCGGAUGUCCAAGGAGUGCUCGGCGACCUCCCUCGGUAUGCCAGGCAUGUCCGAGGGACCCCACGCAAAUAUGUCAGCGUUCGCGCGGAGAAAGUCGACGAGCACCACCUCCUAUUUGGGGUCGAGGCUGGAGCUGAUCCUCAACGCCUUGCCUUCAGAGGUCCCGGGGUCGAGGAAAACUUGCUUGGUCUGCUCCGCCGGCUCGAAGCUUCCGGCGUGACGUUUGGGGUCGGGGACGUCUUGGUCGCAGUCGCCGAGGCCAGUAAGGAUGGCUAGAGAUUCUGCCAAGGCCUCGGCCUGCUCGACGCACUCGACGUCGCACUGGUAGGCGUGCUGGCUGGUCGUGCUGAUGGUGAUGAUGCCCUUUGGCCCUGGCAUCUUGAGCUUGAGGUAAGUGUAGUUGAGGACGGCCAUGAACUUGGCGUAGCAUGGUCGUCCCAGGAUCGCAUGGUAGGUUCCUGGGAACCCGACCACAUCGAAAGUGAGGAACUCUCGUCUGAAAUUGUCAGGGGUCCCGAAGCAGACGGACAGGUCGAUCUGUCCGAGGGGGUGGGCACGAUGCCCGGGCACCACUCCGUGGAAUGGUGCAGUGUCGUUCCUCAGCCGAGACCUGCUGACCCCCAUGAGGGCCAAAGUCUCGGCGUAGAGAAUGUUGAGGCCGCUGCCUCCGUCCAUCAGCACCUUAGUGAGACGGGUCUCGGCGAUGAUGGGGUCGACGAUCAGAGGGUAGCUCCCGGGAUUGGGGAUCCGAUCCGGGUGAUCCUGUCUGUCGAACGUGAUCGCGCUUUCGGACCAUUUGAGGUACGAGGGCGCGGCCGUGCUGAUUGCGCAAACUUCUCGGAGUUCGCGCUUCCUCUGACUCGCAGUGAGGCGAGCCGCUCGUCCCCCAAAGAUCAGAAGGCAGUUCUUGACCUUUGGGAAAUCCUCCCCCUGGAGGUCGUCGUCCCUAGGAGGCUCUUCGGCACUCUCUUUGGUGAGGAUGUCGGUGUAGUACCGACGGAGGACGGUGCACUCCUCUAGGGUGUGUUUGGUUGGCCCCCUGUGAUAGGGGCAUGGCUUCUUCAACAUUUCGUCGAAGAGACCGGGGCCAGCCGGAGCCCGCUUGGGGUUCUUGCGAUCUACCGCAGCGACCAGGUUGUCGUCUGGCUGUCCCUGCUUCCCCUUGCGACCCUUCUUCUUCUUCUUUGGGUCGCGCGAGCUCGAGGCCUCGGUAGCCUCGGCUUUUUGUUUCCCCUUGGCUGUGCUGUCGGAGAAAAUGGCGCCAACUGCUUCUUCGCCUGAGGCAAAGUUGGUGGCGAUGUCGAGUAGCUGGCUCGUGCUUGUGGGGGUCUUGCGUCCGAGCUCGUGUACCAACUCCUUGCAGGUGGUACCGGAAAUGAAGGCUCCGAUCACGUCGGAGUCCGUGAUGUUGGGGAGCUCGGUGCAUUGUUUGGAGAAUCGCCUGAUGAAGUCUCGGAGGGACUCGUCAGGUUUCUGCCGGCAACUCCUGAGGUCCCAGGAGUUCCCAGGGCGCACGUACGUGCCCUGGAAGUUCCCGACAAAGAUUCUGACCAGGUCAGCCCAGUCAUGGAUCAUGCGCUCAGGGAGGUGCUCAAGCCACGCCCUGGCCGUGUCGGCCAGAUGCAGUGGGAGGUUACGGAUGAUAAGCAGGUCGUCAUCCGCCCCGCCUAGCUGGCAUGCCAGGCGGUAAUCCGCCAGCCAGAGCUCAGGGUUCGUUUCCCCUGAGUACUUGGCGAGGUUGGCGGGCUGUCGGAACCGCGCCGGGAACUUGGCCCUGCGUAUGGCCUCGCUGAAGACGCGGGGACCCGGAGGCUCUGGUGAUGUGCUUCGGUCGUGAACAGGGUCGUACCUCCCGCCUCGGCGUGGUCGGUAACGUCGGGACUCGGCCUCGUCCCUGUCACGUCGCCUGGCCUCGAGGGUGGCCCGUACGUCCGCGUCGGCUCCGACGCGCUCGUGGACUGACGGGGCCCUGUUGCCCCUUGUGGGUUAGGGGGUGGCAGGCCCUGUAUUGUUGGUGCCUUGUUAGGAGGGGGCGUUCCCCAUGACGUCUCGUGCUAUGGGAUUGUGAAGCAGAACUUUCCGCGUUCUGCACCACAGCCUGCUCUAGGAGGCCACGUAGCCCCUGGCGCACUCUCCUUCCCUCAGGAGUCGAGGGCUCGGGCAUUGCCCUGAGGAGGAGUGCGGCAGCCAUCACAUUCUGGCUGGCCGUGCUGAAGACUGGGGCGUCUUCCCCUUGGUCCGCAACAAUGCGACGGUUGACGUCACGGGCGCGACGCCUAGCUUCACCCCCGUCUCCGCGGCCGGACGGCUCUCGGACCAGGGCCUCGCGGAGUUGGCGGAGGCGCGUGCGCUCUUCUUCGAGCCUGGCCUCCAGCUCAUCGAGCUGUGUGAGGUCAGGAUGGUGUCCCCCAGCGGGGGCAGAUGCUACCCCACGGGCUCCGGGAUUGGUUCCGGGAGUCGGAUUGGGAGGUGGAGUUGCGUCCUCUUGCCUUGAGGGCCCUGCGCCCCCCUGGGCGCUAUGCGGCGUGCCUCCGACUUCUAAGUUGAAGCACUCUCGAGACGGGUCGUAGCUUUCGUUGUCGGAGUCGGAGUAGCCGAGACAAUAGUUACUGGCUUCCAAGAAACGCAUUAAGGUCUCCGGGUCGCCACAUCCGGAGAAAUCAGCGCCGGACCACCCGUCGUUGCCCGAGGUAAGGUCCUCUGGGUAGGAUGAGGCGGGUGGUGUGGAGACGAGGUCCAGUGUAGACCUCAAGUGGUGCCCGGGAAGUUCCGCGUACGCACUUAAUGAAGUGCUUACGGAAGAGGCGUAGGUAGCGGCGGCAUUCCUGAGCCCAAAAGGUAACUCGGGAGGUGCCGCUGCUGCUACUUCAUCCGCAGGUGGAGGAGGACGGGACAUUGAGGCCCCUUUGUCCCCCUGGCGGGGGACGGGCGCGGGCCGUGCCUUCCCCUUCGAACGGGGUGGGACGGGUGGCCGCGAUAACCCUUUGUUGGUCCUGGGAGCGGAGCUUGACGCCCCGCGAGCCCUUCCUCUAGCGCCUGUUGGGCCGGAGGAGCGGGCGACCUGAUGAGGAAUAUGCGGAGGGAGGACCGGACGGGCCCUGGCCUUAGCGGUGGGGUCGGAGAUCCUAGAUCUCUGACGCCCCCUCCGUGAGCCCCCCGCAUGGUGUCCCGAACGUCUCCCACGCACUGACUGUGGUGGGAUCGGCUCGGGGCUAGGCUCGGCGUCGUUGCGUGGCGGGAGGAGGAUCAUGUCGUAACCGGAGCCGAGGGACAUGAACUCCAAACUCCCAAACAUGAUGAUGGUGCCGCGACGGAGCGGGCGAAAUCCGUCUGCCAUCCGAACCUCCCCAGUAGGGACAGGCAAAACGUCACGCAGAAGGCCCCUACCUGGCGCGCCAACUGUCGGCGUCUAGACUCGAGGUCUAGGCACUGACAAGUAUAAAUCUGCGUGACUUACCAAGCUUGGAUGGUGAUGCAAGUGAGACACAGAGGGUUUAUACUGGUUCGGGCUAAGAAUGCCCUACGUCCAGUGUAGUGGUGGAUUCUGUAUAACCUUGCACCCAAAGGUGCUUGCAGUAGGGGGUACAAGCUGGUUGCGAGAGAGGGCUAAGUCCCAGGUCUCGGCUUGGUGUGGACAGAGUGCGGGCUGCUGCUCUGUGAAAGAGUGUUGUGUGCGUGUUCUGGGCCUGUCUCUCCAGUUAUGAACCCUGGCUCCCCUUUUAUAGUCUCAAGGGAAGGCCAGGUAUUUACAUGAGUAGAUUUCUUUUAUUGAGGGGUGAAAACACAGCCCCGACCCUGUUGAGGCUGGUCCAUCUCGUCCUUGUGGGAUGGUUGACGGCAUGGCUGUUCCUGUAGAGGGUUACCGAACCCUGUAGGGGUCGCGGGGGUCGGAUCGCCGGCACUGCUGCAUAUCCUGUCAACAGUGGAAAUGACCACAAACAGUGGUGCUGAUUUACGUUACCCAUUCCCUUUCUACUGUGCGGUGAUGUGCUACAGUGAACAGGGGUAAGGAUGUAUAGUGACAGAGGUAAGGCUGCAGUGACUGGGGUGGUUGAAACAGUUGUCGCCUUACCCUGCUGCGUUAUGGGGGCCGUCGCAUCCGUCAUGUCGGGGGAAGUCUAGUUGCCCAGGUGGAGUGGGGUCCGGCAUCUGAGCCUGGACGGGGUCGGGCGAGUCGGAACUGGCGUCCGAGGCCCUGAGGGGUCGGGCGAGUCGGAACUUGCGUCCGAGGCCCUGAGGGGUCGGGCGAGUCGGAACUUGCGUCCGAGGCCCUGAGGGGUCGGGCGAGUCGGAACUGGCGUCCGAGGCCCUGAGGGGUCGGGCGAGUCGGAACUGGCGUCCGAGGCCCUGAUGAUCGUGCUACCGAUCCAACUCAACUUGAAACGCGCCCAAGAAUCGUGCUCGUGCCGCGCCCGGCCGCCACUUGUUCAUGCUCGACACUAUAUCUCCGACGUGUUUAGUUGCAAAAUAUUUUGAAAAAUAUGAAUAAUACAAAUUUCGUUUGUAUUUAACAAAUAUUGUGGCUCAAAAGAUUCGUCUCAUCAAUUCCAACCAAACUGUGUAAUUAGUUUUUAUUUUUAUCUAUAUUUAAUACUUCAUGCAUACGUCUAAAUAUUCGAUGAGAAUCUGAAAAAUUUUGCAAAAUUUUUUGAGAACUAAACAAAGCCCAAACCAGAAGAGUUGAAGGGAAGUUGCGCCGGUGAAAAGCUGCAGCAAGGCCCCCAUCUCCUCCUGCAAUCAACCAUCCUGCAGUUGCCAUCACAUCACUAAGGCUGCUAGUGCGACAUCGAUGAACUCAAACCAUGGGCCUUGUUUACUUCCACCCAAAAUCUAAAAACUUUUCAAGAUUUCCCAUCACAUCGAAUCUUUAGACACAUAUAUAGAGUAUUAAAUAUAAAUAUAAAUAAAAACUAAUUGUACAGUUUGGUCGAAAUUUACGAGACGAAUUUUUUGAGCUUAGUUAGUCCAUGAUUAGACAAUAAUUACCAUAAACAAACGAAAGUGCUACAGUGCCGCGAAAAAAUUUCGCCAAAGAACUGAACAAGGCCACACGGGCUGCGAGUACUCGUACACGCACUUGAUUAUAAUAUAUACGCACGGGCCCAGGGAGGGAGGCCGAAAUCACCGAUACAAAGUGAUACUCGCGCGCGGAUAUAUGCGCACGCAGCGACUCUGUUUAGCCAGUUGAGAAAUAUACCAAGUGAAUUUAUCAAGUUGUUGGAGAAGUGUUUUUGAGUUUUUGCUAAAAUAAUAAGAAUACCAAGUAGAUUUACCAAGUUGUUGGAGAUGCUCAUCAUAAAGUCCUUUCUGUUGUUUGCUUUCUCAAUUUACCAUCAUACAAUAAUUAUACUAUAAUCCAGUAAAUCCACCUCUAGUGGCGGCAGCAUGGAUGACAGAGCACAUACGGAAAAUACCAUAGGUCCAUAGUGGUGGCCACAGCUAUACAAGAAAAUAUUGAUCCCAGACUAUCAAUUGGGUGCAAAAUAUUCAGUGCAAAUUACAACAACUGAUAAGUCAUACUGAUAAGUUCAAUCACAGAGACUAAGAUACAAACAUAAUAGUCAAAAACUCAUACAAAAUGAUAAACUUCAGAUUUGUUCGCGCACAAAGUCCUAAAAUUUAUCAUUUUUGUAUGUAUUUUUUACCAAACAAGUUUGCACCUUAUCUUUUACACGAUAAAAAGGCACAUGUAUGGACACAAUAUAGAUGUGCAUCAUUUAUAAAACGUCUAAGUAAGUUUUUUUUUCUAAAAAAGGGGUUUUCAAGUUUACUAUAUGGAGUCAUGGGAUUGUGUGGCCCGAAUAUUUCACCAAGCUGCACCAUCACACAACACAUAUAUGGAGGUGGGGUGAAAACUUUUUUCUCAAAUAUCCAAAAUAUUUACCCAUUACUGUAAUUAGGAAGAAGAGUUGAAUCAUACAAACGACGUACUCUGACAAGCGCCCUAAGAAGUCUACCGGUUACACCAUAGGCAGGACCUUCCAAGGCUACAGAUUCAAGUUUCGAUAUUACAUAAAUGGUACACAACAAAGCUAUGGUCUACACGCUCCUAUUUUGUCAUCCGAGAAGAGCGCUCCGGGGUACAAGCGACUCUUCUCUACCAACCCUAUUGUUGGUUGCUGGAAACAACUUGUCAAGAGCUGCAACUUAUUAUGUUCCCUAUGAAGAUGGUGUCAUAUGCUUGCUUGGACACGGAUGAAGUUGGUGUCGCUUGUGCAUGAUGCCCAUCCUCUUCAUGAGAAGUACCUCACCCCACUUGGAGGCAGGUAUGUGCACCAGCGGUUUAGCGACAAUCUGUCUGCUCCUUCUUCGCAAGGCCUUUUGGUUGUCGUUGUCUGCCUUGGUGGACUCAUGAUCAUGGGUGACUUUCGCUUGAGCUACACCUCCUUGGUAAAUCGUGUGAGGUGUCAAGCGGCCUUGCAUGGCAUAGGCGUCGCAUCAUCGGGAUCGAGCAUGGCUCAUUAUCUGAAUGGUCGUCCUUUGUCAGUGUAGAGGGGUCUGAUGUGCCUUGAACGCCUGGAUGGUCGUCCUACGUUGGCAUAGAAGCAUUGUAAGGUGUUUUGCCAGCUUGAACCCAGGUGGCUAGACCUCACCAUCCUCCCUUGGUGCCUCAACACCUGCGACAAUGGCCUGUCCCAUUUGUGGAGGUGUGUCCCGCUUAGGUGAUAAUGGAGGCGAGUCCGUCGUGCAUUGAGGUGCCAUCAGCAGAGAACAGGAGUCCACCAAUGGAGCUUGAACUUUCUCAGAGGCGGUUGUCGUAGCCAGCAGGCACCCAGGCACUGGUGUGAUUCUUGGUUGGCUCAUGACAAGCGAGAUGGUGAUCUUGUCCAACAUCAGGUCAACCGAGAUGACCCAAGCGGGAGGCCCUUUGCCAUUGCACAGUGCCACCACCAGCAGAUUUGGCUCAAGGAAGUAGUGUGCGACAGUCGAAGUAGCGUCAUCGGUGUAAUUGGUAGGCAUGCCAAGCUGAUGUCUAUUGCCAACUCACUCUAGUGCCAUCGGUGUCAUCUCUGGCUAUGACUGAUGCCAUCAGAGCCUCCCCAUGGCACCCUGCGUGGUCCCAUCCAAGAUCGGUGGAUUGCCGAGGGGUGCGUGCUAGAAGGCCAGUGGGUUGUCAGCAUGAGCUGAGUGUUGAGGCAGGCCACCACCCUUCGCCUCUAACUUGGACUGCUUGUAGUCCCUCACAAGGUGGUGGAAUCCGUGGCAGUGCAGGCAACGCCGUGGCAACUGGCAAGUCACUACUUGGUGCGAGUUGGAGAGAUAGUUGAAACAUAUGUCACGGAGCUAUGCGGGGAUCUUCUGAGCCUAUACGCACAAACCUAGGGCACGACAAGGCUCAACCAAGGCAUCUGCAGGUCGCGUCUCCUGCUAGACUAGGAUCUCCCGCCACCCAUCGACAUUAGGGGUAGAGAUCUGUCUAAGGGCUCCAAGGCGUUGGCAGGUGACACGACCAUCCACUGGUCGAGCAGGCAGGCCAUGCACCUACUAGGGGCAUGGUGGGCUGUGCUUCCUCUGCCUUCACAUAGGUCCAUGUCCAACAUCUGUUCCGUUGUGCCCCAGAACAACGGUUGAACGAGUCUAGGCGCGGACAUGGGAUGCAGUUGCCUGGUUCGCCGGGUGACGAGCGGCCUCCAGGUUGGUUGUAGGGUGUUCAUCAUUGGUCUCCUUGCCAUCAUCGUCUGUCCACCGAUGAUGCUUCGUGCACCCUCCUGAGGAGCAUUUUAGGAAGAAUGGUGUCGUGACCGUUGAGAGGGAGGAACUUGGGGGCAGCCAGCGGCACCAUGGCAGGCCUCAAAGGCCCAUACUUGGGCCCAGUUAGCGUGGCGAUGAUGUCGGUAGCAGCGGGUCUAGGGCUCGUGCCAGCUCCAACUUCUGUGUGCUGAGCCAUCAUGGUGGUGGCAGCAUCAUCUGCCCUAAGGUGGCGGAGGUGAUGUCGACGCGCUAGAUCUAGCCUUCUCACAUGUGUGUGGGGUGACCAUGGCGGCAUCACCUCUCUCCAGUGGCAUAGAGGCAGGAGGGUGCUGGUGACGAAGCCAACCAUCGACACUCGUCGUGAGGUCUCUAGUGGCGGCGGCGGCUUUAGCGCCGGUGUGGAUGGCGUGGGCCCUAUGGCGGAGGCAGCGGCCAUGUGGUAUCCUCGCAAGCGGCUAAGGCAUCUUGGUGCACGGGUUGGUUGGAGUCGAAGGGGGGGAGCCGGUCUCCGGCGUGGGGACACGGACCGGGAGCAAUAUAGUCUGGGAGGUGGCGGAGUCCGCUCCAGCGCCGGAACUCACGAGGGCUGAUGGGGAGGGGAGGGGAAGGGAGGGGGAGUGAGAGGGGGCAGGCAGUAAGGAAAUUCUAUUAUCAAAUAUCAUAGAUGGGGAAGUGUAGUUGUCUCUUGAAAUAGACCUUGUAACUUUGGGCAAGAGAAUAUUGCACAGCUAUAUAGCAAGACAAUAGGAUUAGUUACAACUCCACUAGACUCACUCACUGUGUGUAUGGGUGAUGAAAUCCUGUCAGCCAAAGGAUGACUGAAGCUGCACACAAUGUGUGAAUGCUCUCUUCUUAAGUAAUCCAUUUAGACCUUGUUUAGUUCGUGGAUGAUGUUUCAUGGGAUAUCAGAAGGGGUAUUUGGAUACUAAUUAAAAACUAAUUACAUAACUCGACUGGAAACCACGAGAUAAAUUUAUUAAGCCUAAUUAAUCCAUCAUUAGCACAUGCGUGUUAUGGUAGCAAUUCUGACUAGUUAUGGACUAAUUAGGUUUAAAAGAUUUGUCUCGUGGUUUCCAUGUAAACUGUGCAAUUAAUUAUUUUUAUCUAUAUUUAAUGCUCCAUGCAUAUGUCCAAACAUUCGAUGGGCGGAAUAAAAAGUUUUUAAGUGGGAACUAAACAGACGUAAUUCUCUGCAACUGCAUUCAAUGGACCUGAUGAAGCAAUUUAACUUAUUUUUCCAAUGUAUUCACGUGGGACUAUGGUCCUCUAGCGAGUCAGCCCCAAGUAUGAUAUCAAAGCCGACUGAGAAUCUGGUUGUCUACAUGCAUGCACAACGAAAUUGUCUGUAUUGGGAAUUUUGAGGUAAAAAAUGAGCUAAGAGGAUAACCUAUUGGCAAACGUCAACAAUGCAGUGUAGUCGCCCAAAUCAAUUUUGCAGUAUGCUAUUUCUGUCACUACAUACCGCAACAUCAGGGGGUGUUUUUGGAUGUAGGGACUAAGGGUCUGUUUGGUACAGUUUAAAACAGUUUCAUGAGCUGUUGUGAGCUGUUUUUUUUUGUCAAACACUUAUUUCCAAAACAGCUUCAUGGGUGAAGCUGUUUUUUCUCUCCUCUCGCAAAGACAUAAGUUGGGAUGAAGCUGAAAAAAUAGUUUAUUGCAGCUCUCUCUCUCAUUUCUCUCUCUCAACUAUGUAUGAAGUAGUUGGUGAAGUUAUUUUGCCAAACAUUUUUUCCAAAACAGCUCAACUUCAUCUAGAAAGUCACUCAUGAUGCUAUUUUCUAAAAAACAGCUUUACUAGUGAAGUCGAGCUGUGCCAAACAAACCCUAAGUUUAACAUGUGCACAUCGAAUGUUAUAUUGAGUGUUGCAUGGGAUGUUCGGAUCCUAAUAAAAAACAAAUUACAAAUUCCGUUAGGACUCCGCAAGAUAAAUUAAUUAAGUCUAAUUAACCAAUCAUUAGCAUGUAUUUACUGUAGCACUACCUUGUCAAAUUAUAGACUAAUUAGAUUUAAAAAAAUUUGUCUCAUAAAUUAUUUGUAAUUUGUGUAAUUAGUUUUUUAGUCUAUAUUUAAUAAUUCAUAUAUGUGUAUAAACAUCUGAUGUGAUCAGUGGCGGAGCGUGCAGUCAAGCAUGGGGAGGCAGUUAAGCUAGUACUGUUGAAAUUCAAAGUCUGGAUCCAGAAAAGCAACUUCUCUUGAGACAUGAGAGACUUUGUUGUCUAGUACGCGUGAGGCACAACACCUGACAAAGCACAAAUGCAGACUUUGCAAUGAUCAGCGCUUGCAGGAAGCUGGGGCAACAAGCGCCCAGCUUCGCCUCCACUACCUUUCGCUAGUGGAUGUGAUAGGGACUAAAUUUUAGUUGGGAACCCAAAGACCACUAAAAUUCGUCAGCUAUUGUUCUCCUUUAGUUCAGAGUUUCUUGAUGAACGAAAACUGAAAAGUUUAGCUCAAACUGUUUUCAGCUACUUACUAGAUUUUUUUGCCUGCAUAGUCGUGUGCAAGUAGAAUUUAUGACUAAGUGGAUUGUCCUCCUACAUUGCAAACUUGCAGUAGUAACAAGCAAAUAUUUUUCUUGGCAACUACACCAAAUUUGAGAACCUGAAAUAUCUCGGCGUGACACAAUAAAGAAGGUCAUCUAGUUAAGUUUUGAGUAGUACAAGACCAUAAUCUGCAAGUAUACUUUGGCGUCUCAUUAACGUCAUCAGUAGCAAGGGUCUUUGCACAUGGAAGAAUAAGGCUCAAUGUGUGACUUUACAUAGCACAAUAUAUAAAUUUUUCAUGCCAUAAAUACUAGACACUUCAGUUUGUGUGUCUGCUUAUUUCUGGUCUGAAGCUCCGAACAGUAAUUUUGAUAUAUGGGAAUUAAACCUCAUGGAAUGGCAACAAGACCACGUUUUACAUGCAUGAUACGCAUGGAUUCACUCGAAUCAUGCCAGGUUGCCAGUCCGCCGGACAAAGCCUUAUUUAUUUUGCAUGAAAAAAAAAGGAACUGGAAAGAAAACACAAUCUCCGUACAUAGAAAAUAUGUAUAAGGCCACCCGGGAAGGGGAGUCGCACCCCAAUCCAGAAAAUUUAGUUGUAGGCGUCGGGGUUGGCGACGAGGUAGGCCUCGGCACCCUUGAAAAUAGCAGUGAGUGCCUCCUUGGCCUUGGCUUCCUCGUCCUUCUCGUCCACGCCCGGCAGCAGCUUGUAGGUCGACUCCACCUUCACCACGCUGCCGCCGUCGGCCGCGGGCUCCACCUUGAUGUGCGACGCCGCGGUCUCGACGGCAACGCCUAUGCCGCCGCCCUCGACGAGCGUGUUCUUGCACUCGCACUUGUCCAUGUCCAGGAAAUCGAGCCUCUCCUUCAUGAAGCUGAACGGCAUGACUGCAAAAGCGAUCGCACGUCAGGCGCUAGCUGUUUGAUCGAUGAUCAGGCGAGAACAUCAUGUUGGUCUGGGCAUGCUGCGGACACUUACAUGAGGUGAAGUUGAACUGCCUGACGCUGCCAACGCCGCCAUCGCCCUCCACGGGGUGGGCGCUGGUGACGACGUGGGAAGCGACCUUGGGCGCCAGGUUGUGCCAGUCAAUAACGGCGGCGCGGAACAGGCGUGGCGCGGCCACCGGCGAAGGGAUCUCGAGGGUCCAGCUGUUGGCGGAGGCCAUUACGACUUCAGUGAUGCCGAUCGACUAAACUUGUGGUAGCUGAAGCUGCUUAGGUGCUCAGCUCUGAGCGUGGCAGUGCUGCUGGUGGUGGUUCUAGGAUGGCAGCUUCUCUGCUUGCGUUGCCAUGAGAGUGGCGGGCUGAGGGCUUUAAAUAGGCCGUUAUGGUCCGUCCCGUGAGGAUGAGAUCGACGCCCGGGAGUCGUCGGCGGCUCUUCCCACUUGGGUUGGCUUGGCACGGCAUCGUCUCGUCGCCUCGGCGGUCCAUUAGUCCAUUAUUAUAAUAUAUGUUGCCGGGGUUGCAGACAAAUGUUAGGAAACGUGCUGUCACUCCGUCAACGUUCAACAUCAAGAAGGUGCGGAAGUAGAGCGUGUGAGGAAGGACCGAAGGAGCCGCCAGGGGUCCACCGAUGCCACCCCUGUUAUCAAUAAUCAAGGAGAUCUGCGAUGCAUAGAAAUAAUUUGUAUUGUUUUCUACAAACUUUGGUAUUUAUAUCUCAGAUAUCUGCUUCCAUAGAAAUAUCUAAAAUAUAUUACUUUAUCUAAUAAAUUACAUUGUGUGUUAGCAUUUUCUCAAAGUAUUUUAAAGGGUGUUAAAUUAGCACGCAAGGUUCUAAUGCAUAUGUAUAAUCAACAACACUUAUUGGCACUUGAUAACCGCUUUAACCAUGAUUUUCUCCUCUUCAUGGUACGACUAUCUAUCCUAAACCCAAUUAUAUCCUCUAUAGUGUCUUGAUUAGUGAAACACAAAUAGCUUUAUCAUAUAUCUUUGUCUUGAGCCUAUUUUUGUUUCUCUCUUUCUUCUUUUCCAAGUUGGAGUACAUGAUCUUCACAUUUGGCCACCUCUAUCAUCAUGGAUGUCAUCAUCUAGCUCCACCAUUAGUGUGUACCAAUCCUAUCUCAUAUACACUUAGAACAAUGAUUACUACACUUAGGUUUCACUAAUUAUUUAAAACCAAAAUAGCGCUUUCACAUAUCAAGUUUAAUCACACACAACAUCUGCUUCUUGCCCUUUUCUCUUUCAUGAAAUGCAAGCAUUCAUACACCGUCGGUAUGUUGUCCGUAAUGAGUCUCCUUAGCACAAACGUUGACUAUUCUUUCGAAAUCACCUUGGGUAAAAUAAUCUGUAGUCUGUUUGCCACUGUCUUAGAAGCAAUCUUGUAUAUUACAUUACAUAGACUGAUAGGUCAAAACUGCCCUAGCUUGACCGGCUUCUCCACUCUUGGGAUCAGUACUAUGCAUAUGCUAUUUAUCAGGGAGGAUCAUCCUCCCCCUCCAACACACGCAACAACACAACACACACAUCCUCGUUACAUAAGUCCCAAUGCAGCUGAAAAAAUGUCUUCAUCUUGAACAUUUAAAGCACAAUCCUGAUCUCCUCCUUUCAUAUACAAGCAAGCGUCCUGACUACUUGUAUCACUCUUUUGGUGUUGCACUAUCGUUAUUAGCUUUAUUAUUAACUCCUUUCGUAUCCAAUCUCCAGAAUUAAGCAAAGGUUUGUUUGCUUUCUCAAUUUACCAUCAUAUGAUUAUUAUACGAUAAUCCAAUAAAUACAUCUCUUUUAUUCAUCCUGCAAAAGGUCUAGUGGUGAGAAUAUGGACAGAGCUUAUAAAGUGAAUAUACAAUCAUAGUAUAUGUACUUCGCCACUAAAGUUAAUAUACAAAGAAAUUGGAGGGUGAUUCAAAGAAAUUGGAGAGUGAAUCUCUUCUUUCAAACCUCCGAAGAAACUACUCACAAAGUAAACAUCAUCAUAGGAGCUAUUGUACAAUAGAAUUUGAUGCGCAAGCUGUUCAAACUGCUCAAAGUACUCUGUGACCGAAGUAAGUUUAUCCAAUUGUUUCAUGCAUAAUUGAUAUUGGUCACGGUCAAAAUAACUGCAAACUGCAUCACAAGAGCAGGCCAAGAUGUGAAACAACCAUGCAAAUCUGCAGAUUGUAACCAAGUAGCAGCGGUCCUCCAAAAUUCAAUGUGGCAAACCUGGCUUCAAUGUCUUGCUGAUAGAGUACACUUCAAAAUAGAUCUCACAAUGAUCUACAACCACAAAUUGUCACUAUCAAAUUUGGGGAAAUCUGAUUUGAGCUUUAGGCUAACCCAAGAUGUAUGAGAAUACAAAUGUUGUGAAAAAUCCAUGUAUGACAUAGGGUGUUCUAGAGGCAUACCCAUGACCGGGUUUGACGGGUAGGGUCCAAGGAUCCCUCUUUCAACAUCCCAAUGAGACAAUUCAUGGAGAUGCUCCUGAGCCACUCCAUGGAUGACACAAAUGAACCUGUCCCCCAUGUUUAGAGCCAAGUUGAGGUCCAACGCACCAUGCUACAGCGGGCUGAAGCAGAGUAGCCGAGGCGACGGAGGCAGUAGUGGUGGCGGUGGUCAUGCCUCUAACUUUUGAACCCAUCUAGUCAUCUUCGAUGUGGUCUGCAAUAGCAUCCCCAACGAUGAAUCUGCGGUGGUCUUCCAUGAAUCGAGGUUGGUGAACUUGCCAAGGAGCUGCUAAAGUAGCUUGAUACCCUAGAACUAGUUGUUGGUAAAAAAUCAGCCUACUCUAAGUACCACUUGUGAUGAACUAAGAUAGCUUAGGAAGAAUUAGACAUAGAUUCAACAAGAAUUGGAUAGAAAUUAGAGGAAUUUUAGCGCGGCGGGAGCCCGCGUGGAGGACCCUAGUUUUAGAGUUUGGGUUUCAAUUAACAAAACAUGUUUGUUACACGCUAUUUUGGCCCCUUUUAAGGCAACAUAGUGUCGGCUUUCCAUUCAGUUUGGGUCCACCUGUCAUUCCCUUAAGCUUUCAUGUCCACUAUAUGUUCCUCUUUUUUUGUUGGAUCCCAAACAUCUACGUCGGGCCAGCUUCCAUCACCGUCUACACAUAUGCCGCGGAGUCAUAACAAAUGCGUACUCUCACCUUUGUAGUGAACACUAUAACUUGUGGAGUCUUCAUAUUAUUCAAAGGCAACUGCUCCAGAACCCUUCCUUUUAAAAUUAUACACGCAUCUCAAAGCAUCAAAUCUAAUUAAAUAAAUGUUUUUUCUUAAUUAUUAUUACCUAUCUAGGUGUUGCAUGGGCCUGGCCCUUCCACGUCCAGCCCAAACCCAAUCCAUUUUAAUAUCAUCUAGAUCUGGAAAAAGAAUUCGAACGUUUGGAGUGCUUAUGCUGAGAUGACGCAGCUACUCUGAUGGGUCUCGCCGAGUCGCACAUGACGCCCCCUUGUCAUCCUCCAUUACGCUGAUGACGACACAAUGACACUCCUAUCCAACGCGGGCGGCGAUGAUGACAAAUACAUGUGAUGUUCAUCGGGUUUUACAGCACGGCAUUAUGAUCAACUCCACUCCACCUGAUCCUGCGACGAUAUGUGUAGGACACAGGUUACGAUGGGCUUCAACGGAACUGGUGGCUUCUUGCGGAACUCAGGGCUGUUUAGUUCUGAAAAAUUUUGCAAAGUUUUUAAGAUUUCUUGUUAUAUUAUUUUUUGCAGUACAUGUAUGAAAUAUUAAAUAUAUAUAGAUAAAAAAUAAUUAAUUAUAUAGUUCGUCUAUAAUUUAUGAGACGAAUCUUUUGAGAAUAGUUAGUCUAUAAUUUAAUAAUAAUUGUUAAAUACAAACGAAAGUACUAUAGUAACCGAAACCAAAAUUUUUCACCAAAUAAACAGCUCCAAGCGAAUCGAACGCGCACCAGGGAUAGGAAAGAGAUUAGUUAGGCACGGGCUGGGUUGGAUAUGGUCAGACUCAUGAGGGGCCCAUGUGACAAAGAAUUAAGAAAAAUAUUUAGUUCAUCUGAUUGCCUGUUUUAAGAUCCGCGCAAUUUUAAUAAAGAAGAGUAUUGUAGCAGUUCUCUUAUUCGAAAAGUAAUUUCAAAUUUCAACAACAACAUAUUCUGCAGAAUGAAAACUCUCCAAAUAAAUAUCUAUUCUAAAUGAGCAAACAUUUCUUAUUCUGUCAAACUUGCAUAGGAUUCCAAAACAUAAUACCUCGUAUAAUCUAUGUAUGCCCUUUUCCUUCCCACAUAGAAAAGAACCAUGAGGGUAUACAUAAUCACACAAACAAAAAGCAUCACAUACCACUUAUAGCAUCUCAAGUCCACACACCACACACUGCAUAGGGCAGCUUUAUUUUGUUUUGAAUGAAAAAAAAAGAGGAAAACUCCAGGAAAGAAAAAGAAAAAUUAAAUCGAAACUUCAGGAAGGGGAAUCGCAUCCGAAUCCUCUGAUUUAGUUGUAGGCGUCGGGGUUGGCGACGAGGUAGGCCUCGGCACCCUUGAAAAUGGCGGUGAGUGCCUCCUUAGCCUUUGCUUCCUCGUCCUUCUCGUCCAUGCCCGGCAGCAGCUUGUAGGUCGACUCCACCUUCACCACGCUGCCGCCGUUGGCUGCGGGCUCCACCUUGAUGUGCGACGCCGCGGUCUCGAUGGCAACACCGAGGCCGCCGCCCUCGACGAGCGUGUUCUUGCACUCGCACUUGUCCACGUCCAGGAAAUCGAGCCUCUCCUUCAUGAAGCUGAACGGCAUGACUGCAAGAGCGAUCGAUCCCACGUCAGGCGCUAGCUGUUUGAUCGAUGAUCAAGCGAGAACAUCAAGUCGACUGGGCAUGCUGCGGACACUUACAUGAGGUGAAGUUGAACUGCCUGACGCUGCCAACGCCGCCGUCGCCCUCCACGGGGUGGGCGCUGGUGACGACGUGGGAAGCGACCUUGGGCGCCAGGGUGUGCCAGUCAAUAACGGCGGCGCGGAACAGGCGUGGCGCGGCCACCGGCGAAGGGAUCUCGAGGGUCCAGCUGUUGGCGGAGGCCAUUACUUCAGUGAUCGGCCGAUCGACUAAACUUGCGCUAGACGUCGGUGCUAGGCUCUGUGCGUGGCAGUGCUACUUGCAGCUUCUGCUUGUGUUGCCACGAGAGUGGCGGACUGAGGGCUUUAUAUAGGCAGUUACGGCGGGGGCUGGUGGCGUCCCGUGAGGAUGAGAUCGACGCCCCGGGAGUCGUCGGCGGCUCUUCCGAGUUGUGUCGGCUUGGCACGGCACCGUCACUCAGUCGCUCGUCGGUCCAUUAGUCCAUUAUUAUAAUAUACUAUGUUGCCGGGGUUGUAGACCAAUGUCAGGAAACGUGCUGCCAUUCCGUCAACAUUCAACAUCUAGAAGGUGCGGAAGCAGAGCGUGAGGAAUAAGGACCGAAGGAGCUGCCAGGGGUCCACCGAUGCCACCAUCGGCACCAAGGAGAAGCAGCCGUCGGAGUCGGGGUUGUAGAGGGCUGUCACGUCCGUUGUCGUGGUCGGGGUGAGGGAGGGCUGCCGGAUCCGCCGUAGCCACCUGCUUCCUGAGAUCCAUGGGAGAGGACCCGCCGCUGGCCGAGGUUGAGGAGCUGCCGCCUCUGUGCGGCCAACUUCACCACGGACCUCUGCCGCAGCGGGAGCUCGCGGAGAAGGGAAGGGAUGGUUGGGGAAGGUGUGGGUCCCAUCAUAAUUUGCGAAUAAUUUGACAUUUUUUUAAUACUUGUAGUUUAUAGUGACAAUUUAUAUUUUACUAGUAAAUAUGUCCGUGCGUUGCAACGGGAUAUAUAAGUUUUAGUAUUGGAGAGAACAAAUGACCAUAAAAAUUUUUCAUUAUUUAAUAAAUAGUAUAGUAGGCUACCAUAGUUAAAAUUUAUGGCACUAAAUCCACAAUACUAAUAUAAGUUGUUUGGGCGCCCUUCCUAAAAAUUAUGAUGUUUCUAGUUUCAAAUUUUAUUACCUUGAAUGAAGGUAAUCAGUUUUCUAAUUUUUUUUUUAGUAGCAUCUCUAUUUGCUUUCAUACCAAAAUUGUGAUCUUGUGGGUCUCCACAUCAAUUUUUUUCUUUGGGAAAAACUGCCAGCUCAAGCGAUUCUCGCUGCACGUGGCACAUGCGACCUGAUGCUGCUUGGUCUGGCAUGGGAUAGCUCGCUUGAGCUCGCUGUGCGCAAGCUGCGUGAAGCGGUUUGAAGCUCAGGUGGAUUCGAUUUUUGGAACGUGGUGCUUCUUCAAUUCAGGGCUCCAAGCCUCGUCUCCGGUUAAAUAGCAGAAGUAUGCUCGUUGUCUCUGUCUCGUCUCGCCACUAUCCUGUUCCACACCUAAAGUGAUGGCACCCUCGUCCUCUGUCCGUCCGUGUGCUGAGAAUCUCGGAACCCGUGGUCAUGUGAUGUGGGGACGAAGAACCCAGCCAAUAGCUUGGUCAACUUGGGCAACCACGGACAGCGCAAAAUCGUCCGUGUCAGCCCGGCUCAGCCCAACUACAGCCCACUAUCCCACCAGUAUAUAAUGCUUCAUCCAAAAUAACCCUAGGUCUAAUAUUUACUCACCAGCCGCCGCCACACCUGUGCACACACCUGCUCCUCUUCUCCUCCACCCAUGGGCGUCCUCUCCAUCCCUGCUCUAGUGAGGUUGUGUGGAGAUUGCCCCAAAACUUUGCUCGCUUGGAUCUCUAUGUCUCUCCACCCUUGCCUUGCUCUCUGACUUGUAGCUCCACUCAUGGACGAUUGGGGCUUAUCGAGCUAUUGGGCAACACGUCCAUCACCGUGCUCUUGUGCCACGCCGGCGGAUCCCCACGUCGACAGCCAGCGGCGUCCUCGAAUUCUCCCUAGCGCCACCUAGAAGAUCUCCCACGCCAUCAUCCUCAUCAAGGGCGUCGACAGCUUGCUACUAUUUGUUUCGAUUUUUUGCGCUGUUAGAUUUUAUUUCUACUUGAUUCGAGGGCAGAUUCCAGGAGUGCUAAGACUAUCUACAACAAUCAUCAGGGUAGCGCUACAAGUAAAAGGUUCCAUACCUAUUUUUAGUCUUCUCCAGCAACGAGACCUAAAAGAAAACACUCUCUGCAAAUGGGUCUCGAGGAGAGAGAAUACCCAAAUUUGGGUUAUGCCUCUCCUGAUACCUAAAAUGGGUUUUCUGUAUGGGUACUCUGUUGGAGGCUAUAGUUAUUGCGUUGGAGACCCAUUUUGGGUUUGUGUUCCCAAAUGGGUCUCCUAUUGGAGACAACCUAAGCAGAGAGGAUUUGUUAUUAUAUAGAAAACAGAGGUAGAUCCAAACGAAAAUCUUGGGCUUCUUUUUCGAUUUGGGUUCGAUUUGUAAUUCUUUUUGUUAUUUGACUUGUUGGCUUCUCCUUCCUUUACUUGUUUGCCCUAUUACUUUGUACAUGUAUAGGUUCUACAUGAACUUUGUUUCCAAGCUCUACUGAAAACGUAUAAGAUUAGGUAAAAGGAGGCUUGGCCGUGAGUCAAAGCCGGUACAGGCAAGAUGCCAGACGAAGGCGGACAGGGCGAGCGGACAGAAAAAAGGGCAGAAAAAAAAGACAGGAUGAAAUUUUGGCUCUUUAUAGAUAGGUAUAGAUUCUGAAAACUUUGGCACAUAUGUAUCUGAGAUUUGCAAUCUAUAGAAAUACCUAAAAUACAUCACUAUAUCCAAUAAAUUAUAUUGUAUUUUUAAAGGUAUUAAGCACACUAGGUUCUAAUGCAUAUGCAUGAUCAACAACACCUAUUGGCACUUGAUAACCGCUUUAAUCAUGAUUUUUCUAUCUUCAUAGUAUGGUCCUAAACCCAACUACAUCCUCUAUGAUGUCUUAAUUGGCGAAAUAAAAAUGACUCUAUCAUAUACCUUUGCCUUGAGCCCAUUUUUCUUCUCUCUUUCUUCUUUCCAAUUUGGAGUACUUGAUCUUUACAUUUGCCAACUCCAUCAUCAUGGAUACCAUCAUCUAGCUCCACGUGUACCAAUACUAUCUCAUAUAUAGAAUAAUAAUUUGUACACUUAGUUUUCAUCAAUUAUCCAAAAUCAAAUUAGCGUUUUCACAUAUCAAGUUUCAUCACACAACAUUUGCUUUCUCUUGCCUUGUUCUCUUUCAUGCAAUGCAAGCAUACAUACAUCAUCAGUAUGUUGUCUGUAAUGAGUCUCCGUGCCACAAAUAUUGAUUGUUCUUCCGAAAUCACGCUGGAUAAAAUAAUUUGCAAUUUGUUUGCCACCAUCUUAGAAGCAAUCUUAUAUAUUACGUACUGAUAGGCUGAAACUGCCCUAGCUCGACCGGCUUCUCCACUUUUGGGAACAAUACUGUACAUGUGAUAUUUAUCAUAGAAGGAUCAUCCUCCCCCUCCAACACAGGCAACAACAUAACACACACCUUCUCACCACAUAAGUCUCAAUGCCGCUGAAAAAUGAGCAGGAAAACCAUCCGACCCCGGUGUCUUCAUCUUGAACAUUUGAAAAGGCACAAUCCAAAUCUCCUCCUUUCGUAUACAAGGCGAGCAUCCUGACUACUUACAUCACUCUUUUGGUGUUGCACUAUCAUUAUUAGCCUUAUAAUUAAGUCCUUUCCUCUCCAAUCUCGAGAAUUAACUAAUUAAGUAAAGGUUUGUUUGUUUUCUCAAUUUACCAUGAUAUGAUUAUUACACUAUAAUUCAAUAAUACGCUUCUUUUUAUUCAUCAUAUAAAUAUAUCUAGUGGCGAGACCGCGAGAGUAUGGACAAAGCCCAUACGAAAACUAUCAUAGUGGUGGCAGAGGCAUGAGAAAUUAUUCAGUGCAAACUAUCAAUUAGGUGCAAAAUUAUUUAGUGCAAACUAUCAAUUGAGUGCAAACAUAAACCCUCAGUAGAUGUACUUGGCCACUAAUGUUAAGAUACAAAGAAACUGGAGGGUGAUGCAAAGAAAUUGGAGAGUGAAUCUCUUCUUUUAAACCUCCAAAGAAAUUAGUCACAAAGUGAACAUCAUCAUAGAGCUAUUGUACAACAGAAUAUGAUGUGCAAGCUAUUCAAACUGCUCAAAGUACUCUUGACUGAAUUAGUGUACCGAUGUUUAUUCCAUUGUUUCAUACGUAACUGAUAUUGGUCAUGAUCAAAAUAAUUGCAAACCGCAUCACAAGAGCAGGCCAAGAUGUGAAACGACCAUGCAAAUCUGCAGAUUGUAACCAAGUAGCAGCGGUCCUCCAAAAUUCAAUGCGACAAACCUGGGCUUCAGUGUCUUGCUCAUAGAGUCAUCUCACAAUGAUCCUUCCACAACCAUAAAUUAUCAUUAUCAAAUUUUGGAAAAUCGAUUUGGGCAUCAGACUAACCCAAGGUGUAUGAGAAUAGGAAUAUUGUGAAAAAUCCAUGUACGACAGAGGGUGUUCUAGAGGCACGGAUGGGGCCCAAGGAUCCCUCUGUCAACAUCCCGAUGAGGCAAUUGAUGGCGAUGCUCCUGAACCACUCCAUGGAUGACGCAGAUGAACCUGUCCCAUGUUUGGAGCCAAGUUGAGGUCUAACAAACCAUGCUGCCGCGGGAACGGUUGAAGCAGGGUAGUCGGGCGGUGGAGGCAGUGGUGGUGGUAGUGGUCGCGCCUCCAACUUUUGAAGCCAUCUAGUCGUCUCCGAUGUGGUCUUCCAUGACUCGAGGGUGGAGACCUUGUCGUUGUUGGAGUAGCUUGAUACCUUAGAACUAGUUGUUGGUCAAGAAUCAACCUAAUCUAAGUACCAAUUGCGAUGAACUAAGAUAGCUUAGGAAGAGUUAUAUGUAGAUUCAGCAAGAAAUGGACAGAAAUCAGAGGAAUUUUAGCGCCGCGGGAGCCCGCGAGGAGGAACGUUAGUUUUAGAUCGAGUUUGGGUCUCAAUUAAUAAAACAUGUUUGUUACAUGCCAUUUUGUCCCCCUUUGCGGCAACACAGCGCCGACUUCCCAUUUUGGGUCCACCUAUCAUUUCCCUUGGGCUUCAUGUCCACUAAUUAGCGACUAUGUUCCUCUUUCUUGUUGGAUCCAAACACCUCUGUUUCCAUACCAUCUUCCAUCGCCGUCUACACAUAUCCUACGAGUCAUGACAAAUGCCUACUUCUCUCACCUUUGUAGUGAACACUGUAACUCCUAGAGUCUUCAUAUUAUUCGAAAAAUCAUUUCAAAUUUCAACAAUGACAUAUUCAGCAGAAUGAAAAGUCUCCAAAUAUCUAUUCGAAAUGAGCAAACAUUUCUUACAGUCAAACUUGCAUAGGAUUCCAAAACAAAGUACCUCGUAUAAUCUAUGUAUGCCCUUUUUCUUCCCACAUAGAAAAGAACCAUGAGGGUAUACAACUAUACAUAAUCACACAAACAAAGCAUCACAAACCACUUAUAACAUCUCGUGUCCAUACACCACACACUGCAUAGAGCAGCUUUAUUUUAUUUUGUAUGAAAAAAAGAGGAAAACUCCAGGAAAGUAAAAGAAAAUUAAACCCGAACUUCAGGAAGGGGAAUCACAUCCCAAUCCACAGAUUUAGUUGUAGGCGUCGGGGUUGGCGACGAGGUAGGCCUCGGCAGCCUUGAAAAUGGCGGUGAGUGCCUCCUUGGCCUUGGCUUCCUCGUCCUUCGCGUCCACACCUGGCAGCAGCUUGUAGGUCGACUCCACCUUCACCACGCUGCCGCCGCCUGCCGCGGGCUCCACCUUGAUGUGCGACGCCGCGGUCUCGAUGGCGACGCCGAUGUUGCCGCCCUCGACGAGCGUGUUCUUGCACUCGCACUUGUCCACGUCCAGGAAAUCGAGCCUCUCCUUCAUGAAGCUGAACGGCAUGACUGCAAGAGCGAUCGAUUCCACGUCAGGCGCUAGCUGUUUGAUCGAUGAUCAAGCGAGAACAUCAUGUCGACUGGGCAUGCUGCGGACACUUACAUGAGGUGAAG